AAGGGGAAGAAGGAUGGUGGUGGAAGGAAGUCAAAGGAGGGGAACGGGAAUGGAGAGAAAGAGGAGAGGAAGCAAGUACAAGUUUCAUCUUCGUCAACCUCUUGAGUUUCUGGAUUGAUGAUCGAUCUCCAGGUAGGGAAUUGAGAGACGGAAAGAAGCAAAUAAGAAUCGAAUUGUUGGGAAGAGGCGUGGAGGUGAAGGGAAAAUGAAGGAAGGAAGGAAUGGGAAUGGAGUAGAAGGAAAAAAUUAGUACUUGCAGAGUCAGAGAAGAGAGGAAAGAAAGAAAUGAAUAAAUAAUAAAAGGGGAGGACUUUGUUGGCCACGUAGGUGUAGACUUUUCGGGUGGAGGUGGUCGGAGUUGUUCUUCUCGUCCCAUUAGCUUAAAAGCAAGAAUUUACUGAAUCCUACGUUGCCAAGUGUAUAGUCUCCAGGCUGUGCUUGCGGCAACCCAGUCAGGUCCACCGAAAUGCCAUAAUGCUUUUGCAUUGCGCAUCGCCUCGUCAAUCUCUAGCAAGUGGGGUUUGUCGUGUUGGGUAACCUAAACACAUUCUUCACACCCAACUUCUCUUCUUAAUUUCUUUCGCAGCUUCAGUUACGUGUAUAAUCAGUUAACUAAUUACUUUUGCCGCCCUUUGAACUGAAUAACGACAUAAAAGGUUGCUUCUGUCUCGUCGUCUAUGCAAACAAGUUCCCGUUCAGACCCUCUCUCCUUCCAUCGAAUAUGCUAGCGGUUCAAACUUCCCAACCUGAUGGUUGUUUGAUUUUGAAAUUUUAAAGGUGAUGAUGUAAAUCAUAUGAUGGUAAUGGUCGACAUAGUAUGUUGAUUCCGAAAAUAUGAUGGGGUUUCAAAAUGAUUUCGAAAUAAUUUUAUCGGCUCUAAAUGAUUCGGUAGUUGCUUCCAAUUUUUUUUGUUUUUCUUUUCGAAAUUGGACAAAAACUUCUGCCAAAACACAUGAUUUAAAUAAAAACAUGUCCAAAUCAUCUUUCAUAAAUCAUUACCAAACAAAAGAACAAAACCGCUCGUAUAUUUCAAUUCCCUUCUAUUUCAAGUCUCUUGUUAUUUUAAAUACCACCUACCAAAUCUCGAAAUCAAAAACCUGAACCAAUCAAUCUCCUUGGGGAAAUUAAAUCAAUAGGAAGUUAUGUAUAAUCAGUCUCCUAUACAACAAUGUCAGCUGCCGCCAGUAGCCAUAUGCCUCUCUCUCUACAUGAAUGUUCUCAAUUACGAAAGAAUUUCGAGUGUGUAACUAACUAACUAUGGAAUUUAAUAACAAGUCAUGUACGCAGUGUUGCCAGGUCAAGAGCUCUGAGAUGAGUCCACUUGAAUCCACAGCAUCUCAGCAUACGCCUUCUCUUCUUCCUUCUCCUCCUCCUCCAAUACACACGUACUUACCUCCUCCACAUCUUCCUCUUCUUCAUCAGGAACCUCCUCCUCCAUUUCUUCUUCCACGUUCCCCAACUCUUCUUCACCCACUCGUCUCGCUUCAUCAGCAAGCUUCGACAUAGCCUCUCUCAUAGCUCGACCUGUUGCUGGCCUGUCGGUUGGCCUAUAUUUCGGAGCUGGUGUAGCGAAUGGCAAAACGAUGUCAUCCAAGCUUCCCUUGUCCUCCUUCGAGUGGCCAUCUCGCUCCGAUGGAGGAAAGACGAAGACUAUCCCGAGUUCGUAGUUGCAAAUGUGAAGCUUCGAAGAAGAUGGGUUCGAGAUUGUUCGUCCCCAAGCCGCAGCGCUGAAAUUAUGCGACCCGCAAUACACCCACCCGAUUGAAGGUUCCCCCCUUGUUCCACUCCUGAAGCGUCUCCUUGCAACCUGCUCAUGGUUUUUAUAUUCUUCAGUUUUUAAAAUAACUUGUUAUAUUUGACCAGAGAGUUUGAAUUUUUCAAGGCAAUUUUGUUACCUUGACGUGCAUUGGGUGUCCGAUCCUCUCAGGAGGAUGCGGUACGGCAUCAUGAAGUAUGUUUGCAGUUUGCAACUUCUGCCAUGUUUUCUACAUUGGGCAAAUGAAAAGAUCAGAUUUUACUUGAAAUAGAUAUGAAGACAUUUUUUGGACUUGCGUAGUACUAAAUGGAAUCAGUACCUCCGAGAAGCAGAGAAUGCGUCUUGAUGAUACGACGCGGUCAUGUCCGGUUUUUACUCUGUCGAUCGUAGGGAAAAGUAUCUGCAUGGACGGAUUUCUCAAUUCUUGACUAGCACUCCAGCAGCCCCACUGUGAAGAUCACUCUUUAGUAAAUCCAUGAGCGUGUCAAAACUCUAGAUCAUUACUAUUACAAGAUAGUUUCUAUUGAUCAGCUUAUCCUUGUUACCUCAGGAUCAGAUUCUUCAGAAUCAACAACGUGCGAAGAUUUUUUUCCAGCGGCGACUGAAAAGGCAGAGAUAAAUUGUGCAUUGACUGAUGACCCGAUCGAAGAUGCACCUUCAGAACAAAAUUGUGUCAAACAAAGAGUCAAAGACGUUCAUUCCUUGAACUGUUAUCAAUUUAGAAGUAUGCAGAGACUCACCGUAAAUGAAAUCGGAUUGUUCUGACUCGGGCCAUUUGUAUUGACCUAACACCUAGUAGAUGACAAAAAGAAAACAUUUGCAGGAGCCAUAAAGACAAAGAUGUCUGCAGAAAUAGCUACAUAAGAAAAGGUAAUAUAAGAGAUCUAGAAUCUGUCAGCAUAAGCCACGGCCAUGUCGGAAAUGAGGAAUUUUUCUCACUAAAAUUGUCUAAAGCAUGCAACCAAAUUAACUUAUUCUCUAAGCAGAAAUUCUUUGGUGGGAUAGGAUAAUGUGGCUGCAGGGUCAUGAGUAAUGUAGGAUAAUUCAAGACCAUAAGCAUAAGUUUAGAGCUGAACACCAUACCUCCUCUAGACGCCAAAGGCCUGUACAACUCUGUAGUGAAGCAAUGAGAGAACUAAGAGCAACUACAUGUUCAAACUGCAGUAGCUUCAUCAUCUCUGAAAAUUGAGGUCCCUGCAUAAUUGAGAAUCAUCAGAUCUUACUCUCUCAUUCACCCAUACACGAAAACACAAGUUUUGGCAUAACCAAGCAUAUCCCAAGUACCAUACUUGUGUCACAUACAGACUCAGUUGCAAUCUAAUGCUGCUUCCUCCUAAAGCAGCAGCAAGGGCUUCUUUACGAGAAACAAAUCCUGAGAAAGAGAAGAAUCCACCAUCCCACAAUGGUGACACCCAUUUUGCAACACCUCUAGGCAGAAAACCAAGUUGAAUGCAAUCUAGCACAAGAGGAAAAGGGAGAAAGGCUAAUCAGUAUGUCUACCAAAAACGUAAAAUAACAAAGUACCCCAAUAUCCACAGGCAUGACAAAAUAUACAUAAGUUAUUUAACUAAAGGAAUGACACAUCCAGAACAAACAAUAGGAUAGAAACCUCAGCAGAGAUAAAGUAUCAACGGAAAUAGGAAAUUACCUCCUUCAGAUGUUUGAUCAGGAUUAGAAACAAGAACACUGACAGCAUUUCCAUCUGCCACCACACUCGUGUUUCUUCUCAAAACAACCUUAGACAUCCCAUCUGCAUUUUCAUAAGUUCGACUAAGAAAAGCAGCUAAUCUCUUCAGCUGGAUGCCUUUGACGUCUGACCUAGCAUGGAAAAGAUGACUUAAACCAACUACAGAAGCUUCAGCCCACCCUAAAGAACCCAUAACAGGUGAGACCAGGUUACACCGAGAAGUCUGUGACGAAGGUAGGAAAGCGAAUAUAUAAGUACACACUUAGUUGUCAAUAAAGGAAAAAGUGCCAAGUUUGAUCUCUUUGAACAGAAAAAAUCAUGUGUUAACAAUUCUAUUAUCCAAACAAAAUAGUUCCAGACAUAACGAUAACCAGCUUUUGGCAAAGCAAGCACUGAUAAGAGGUGAAGGUACUUACAUUCUGUGCCUUGUAAGAGUGAAUUCCAGGUAUUGAAGCCACUAUACGUCCUACUGCCCCUUCAAAGUUGUAUCUUGUCAGCUCGGCAAUCCAAUGUGCUUGACUAGGAACAUCAAUAACAAGAGACGCCAUAAAUCUGGCCAGCUCAGCAGCAAAGUCUGAAGACAAUUGAUUUGAUUCUCCGACGGACAUUCGUCUAAAAAGAUACGAGGCAUCAGGUGCGCUUCUGGCAGGAAAGUCUUGCCACCAAACAGUGUUGGUUACAUUAUUCCACUGUUACAGUAAGACGAACUGGUGAUUAUACUGUUUCACUUCCGCCAAAUGCAUCUUACUUUAGAGUUAUAAGAAAUUUGGACAUCCCCGAUAUCUCCGUCCUUUAGAUAUUCACCUGGUUAGCAUUUAGAUUCGCUGAAGUAAUGAUAACACGAAGGCUAUCAUCUCUUUGCAAAACAAUCAGUUUUGGAUGAUGGCAACCGAUGCCUUUGCUCUUUAGGUCUUUACCAAAUGCUAUAUCUUCGGGAAAUGGAGGAAACCUAUUAAAAAUUUCAAACCAGAUUCCAGAAGUUUAACAGAGUUACCUUGGAAACUUCAAAAAAGAUAUUAAGCCCACUUAUGUUCUCAAAUGUUUACCGGAUGACGGAAGUUAAAUCUGUCACUUACACUAAUUCUACAUUUGGAUACUCUGGGUAAGGCAUUGAGGAUCUUUUCUCAGGGCUGGAGCUCCAACAUCUUUCUGUGUCAUGACAUGCAAUUGUCACUGGAAGUUGGUAUGGAAUUCCACACGACUUUAAGAACCUGCAUGUCCACAACAAAAUAGAUCACUAGCACCAUGAUCACCAUCAUUAACAAUAAAUCCUUACAUCUGCAGAAAAUAUCCCCAUUAUUAAGAACAAAUAACCAGACUAAUUUUGCCUCUCUGUAACAGUUGACUAGUCGAAGCCUUGCUUUUCUGUGUCUUAAACUCCAAACUCCAAAGGAUGCAAAUGAAUACCAGGAAAGCUAAAAUAUAAUUGCAAAAGUAGGAAACAGAGAUUGGUGUAUUUACCAUAGGAUAUCACUUGUGAACGUAGCAAUAAAUAUUCUCAGAAUGUUGUUAACAGGAUAGAGAAGUUCUGACAUAGAGACCGUGUUGUGAUGUGUAGAUGAAGGAUGGUUCAUACGCUCAAGACGGUUAAGAAAGAAUUUCUUCCCAGGGGGAGAACUUUGAUCUUCUGAAGUUUCCACAGGGACAACAGGCUGGACCAAGCUAUUACUGUCCUCAUUAACAGUACACGGCGAAGGAACACCACAAGUAGCAUUCACGGUAAUGGUCUGGAAAGGUCUUGUCAUACCAUCUAUUUCGUGCAUUUCGUCAUCUCUAACACUGACACAUUGCACGCUCUCCUUUCUUUCACUAAGUUGCUUACUCUCAUGAGCAGACGGAGGCUCCAGGAAAUGUUGCUCGCCACUGUGAUCUUCAGUCCCACCUAUCGUAACAUCCAAAUUCGCGCCACGUAGGUUCAUAGAUUGUGGGGAGCUCGAUCCAUUCUUACCACACCAUGGAGAAUUCAUCUCCAUCUCCGGUAAAACAAGUUUCCUAAUAUAAGCCAUUGGGUCAUCACUGUGCAAUAUACGCAUACAUUUGGUCAACAAAGACUUUGCUCUUCUUGCAAUACCGCCAUAUGUCAAUGUCAAAGAAGCUUUGGGUGGAGACACUAUCUCAUCUUGACAAAAAGCAAAGACCCUUUUGUUUCUCCUCCCACUUGACAAUGAACUUUGAGAGUGCCCCAUUGAAUCAGUCUUCUCAACUAACCUCCUGGACCUCCCAAAAGGAACCCCACCCACUCCCACUACAACUUCCUCAGUCAACACAACGCCCUCAAUCAUGAACCCAACUCGUUUACUGAACCUACAUACAUCUUCAUUUCCACAAACAAAAAACACCUGAUCACCUGCGCAGAGCUCUCUAACCACACCUGCCCCAACCCUAACACCAUUAAGAAACAAUCCAUUAAGAGAAUUCUGUAUCCCAUAACAGUCUUCUCUCAACUGAUCAGAACAGUGCAGUCUCCUCCUAAACUCGCUAACAGAAGAUUGAGCAUUCGGAAACAGAAACGAGCCAUCGAGAACAUAAACCUUACGAUGAAGACCGUCGAACAUAAGCUGGCAGUGUCGCUUGCUGACACGGGAAUCGUGGAGGAGGAAGUUGCAGUGGCCGGACGCUCGACCGAAGGUGUAAGGCCGGUCGGCUAAGAGACGGAUUGAAGUGAGAAUCGAACCGGUGGCGGCGGAAGUCAGAGGGACGUCAAAACUUCGGAGAUGGAGCAGUGCUGAUUUGCGGAUUUGCUUCUGCCUCUUCCUCGGAGGUGAAACUGAGAGCCGGAAUAGAACAUUCUCCUCCGCCCCCUCCACACCAUCGAUUCCUCUGUCGCUACUGGUGAGAGCUAAGCCGCCCAUAGCAGAAGAAUUGGACGGAGAACUUCGGUGUCAAAGGAAAAAGGGAAUUUGGGCGGGGUUCGUUUUCCAAGUUCCCCUCCUAUUUUCCCAUUGGAGACGUGACGAUGCAUCGUCACUUGGAUGAGCGAAUGGGCGCCUAAAGAAGCUUAUUUGAGAAGCUAUGGUAAACUGUAAUUUUAGUCAUGAUUUAAGUUCUAGCUUUCUACCAAUCACUACAUUAUUUUCAUACUACAUCUUAACGGAAAAAUGUCUUUUCUGUUUACAUAUUCAUAUCGGUGCUAUUUGCCUCCCAAGUGCAUGUCAUCUUCGGAGCCAUACUAAUCUUCUCUAUAUCGUUCCAAUUUUACCGAGCGUCCAAAUGAGUGAUCUGAAUAAUGUAACCUUUAUUGUUGAUGAUAAAAUUUCUUCAAGAAGCAUGAUGCAAAAAGUAAAUAUGAAAAUGGUAUUAUUGACCCUUGUACAUUGUGAAAGUAACGUUGGGUCUCCUUUACUAUUAAAUUGUCGAUUUACAAACUGUCAAUUUACCAACAAACUUCUUCUGUUAAGUUCUCCGUUAGUCUCCCGGUAAAAUGUAACAGAUCAGUAUGUCAUGUCAGCCUCUAUCGCCACAUCAAUCGAUGCUCACAAAGGUAAUUAUUUCAAAUUCGCAAAACUAUAUUUCCUUAUUCUUAUAACAAAUCAACAACAGGAACAUGCAACCAGAGAGCACGGAAGUCAGAACCACAGAGCAACGCAGAACCAUCUCUUCACCGUCUGUGGAUUCCUUCCUGGUCACAGACACUGCUGGAUUUUACUCCCAACUUCCAUGGGCCUGAGAUGUUUGUGGACUUCCCAUUCUUUUGAAGAUCCUCACCAGGUCCAGCAAGAUUGGGCCUCAAGAUGCGCUGGCUUGGAUUCGCAGCUUUACGAAUUUGGUAUGAAUUAAAUGUUCAGGGUUGGGGAAGCUUGAACCGGCUUAAUAGCUUCAAAGAUGAUGCAUUCAGAGAGCUACAUAAAAUCUGACAUCACAGCCUCGUAGCAGAUCCAGGGAAGACCGCAAGUAAACAGUAGAAGCAUAUACUCACCAAUGUAGGAAGAUGAUCAAAGAGAACAAUUUGAACCCUGCAGAUCAAAACCAUCACAGCCCACCAGCAGCACAAACUCUAAAUCAUUUCCUGCAGUCGGAAUCACCACACAAUCCACUCCUCAUGCCUAGACAUCCAGAAUACAAAGAAUACAAAUUCUGCUUGAUACACUCCAGUUACCAGAUCAAAGUAAACCUUCAUUUUUAUUCAUAAGAACAAUGGUUAAGAGUGAUAUUAGAAUUUGAACGCGAAUCAGGUUGUGGAGGUUUAGUGUUUCCUAUGCAGUUGGCAAGACAAGUAAGAGUAUAAGACUGCUGCAGGUAACAAAGUUAACUGGUUUUUUCCAGCAAGUUCCAGUUCCAGUAGUCCUAGAUCGAUCAAAAAACUUAUUGACUGAAUCAUCCCUCAAACAAACAGAAUAUAAACAAAAACACGAUCAUGGUCAAGGCUAUAAAUUAAGCGGUAGUUUGGAUUAGGGAAUUGAGCAUGGGAAUUGGACUUGAAAAAUUAGAGCUCAAUUCCUAUCCCUUAUGGACACUGAACCCCAAUUCACUAAUCCAAACUACCCUUAAAACUUGCAACUGUAGAAAGAAUGAACCUGCCUGUUAUCGAGACACGCUUUUUUGUCUAAAAUCCUUCAACAAAGUGCGAUAACCAAUCCUUCUUAAUCCAUUUUGCAUAUAAUUAUUGAGUGGAAUAGACACAUAGAAGUACCGUAGACUAGUUCAGAUGUAAGUUCAGAAGGGUAUAUGAGUAAUGAAAGAAAAGGCAGAAAGAAGACCCUUUGCUUGCUCAACCUGCAACAGCAGUUACUGGUGAAAUAUCAAGUUAUCAACAGUAAUAAUAACACAUUCCACCAUGAUAAAAUCAUAUGGUUUGGCACCACUUUAUACUCAAAAUGACUUCAAAUCUCGAUGAAACAAAUAUCCUUCAAAAGUUUCAUCAUACACAAGAAAACGAGAGAGAAAAUCAUCAAAAGCACUACUCAAUUCAUAACAAUACCGAAUAGCAAAAGGGUUUUUAAGUUCAGCAUCGCUGACUCCAUAAAGUACAUCGAUCUAAGCGUUCAAAGUCACGAGAUUGUUCUUCAAAGAUUUAAAAGCAACUACCCCAACUAAAUAUACAGUACGUUUAAAUGUGAGCCAGCAGCAUAGGGUACAAAACAACGCAAGAGAAAAAAUAAACUUGAUUUGACUGUUUUUUAAAGAUCUGGCAUUUCUAGUAGCAAAGAGUAACAUUUGACCACUUUUAUAAACUUCAUUUGCAUAAGCUCCAUAAACUUCAGAAGAAUCAGCAGGCCAGUAUCUAAAACACUGAGGCACCUAUAAGGAUCUGCAAAAUCAAUAAGAGCGCAUGAAAAUCAUUUGUACCAAGGAAAUAGUUUCAGCCACAGAUCCUUGCAGAAAUUGGUUCAAGAAUAUUGACAUCAUCAAUUAAGAAUCGAAGCAACCUGGUAAAAGUGUCUAAUUGUCCUUUAUUAAAUAAUUGAGAACUUAAAACUGUAUGUCAGUGACUCCACCGAAAACUGAUCAAGAAAAUUAGUAUUAUAAAUGAAGAAAUGAAAACCAAUUUAAAAGCAGCCCAAUUAGCUUUCAUAAUAGACCUUGGAUUUUGGCAACAAACAAACACGUUAGAAACUCAAUGAAAUAUAACAGCGAAAAUAGUAUUUUUCACGCAGACUGCUGAACUAACAAUUAUAACAAGGUCUUAUGAUCAAUUUGUGAGAAUACAACAGGGUUAGUAUCUAUUCAUGUCUACGUCUAGAGAUCAUACCAAGUUUAUCAUAAAUCAUAAAUAAAGUUCAACUGCUGUCGUUAAUGAAUUUACACGGUUAACAAUUGAACAAUUCAAAAUUCAAAUGUAGUUCAACGCAUUUUUCAUACCUGAAAAGGCAAGGAGGCAGCCUAGUGGCCCAUGUAAGGGCCUAAACCACCAUACUGUCCGCGUUUUCCUCUGCUGUUAGAGCUUGUCCAAGAGGGUUAAUUGCUUGUGCCGCAGCAGCUCCCUGGUUAAAUCCCAUUCCAGCUCCACUUGCGGGGCCCAUUAGGUGGCUAGGAGCUGCAGCGGCAUAUGGAGUGUUGCUAUCAUUCCUCGGAUAAUGAGAGGCCUGAGCAUGAUGGUGUUGCUGCCUCUGUUGCGGAGCUUUUCCAGGUUUCGGACCGUCAAUGGCUUUCUGGCAGUGUAAAAUAUGACCAUCGAAGUUCUUAUGCGGCUCUUCAAGAGCCCUCUUAGCACUUUCAGGGCUCCUGUAGACAAACAAACAGAAACCUUUCGGCUUUCCGGUGUUCUUAUCCAGCCCAAGUGGCCCUUCCUCAAUCUCUCCAAACUUUGCAAAGAAGCUAGUCAACUUUUGGGGAUCCAAAUCUGAACCGACGUUACUCACGUAGAUCUUCCUCUGAGUGUAUUCUGACUGCGGUGUAACGGGAGCUGCUGCUUGAGGUGGCGUUUGAACAGGGCCAAUAGAAGCAAGCUGACAAGCAGUCAUGCGGCUGCCUAUCUUCUUCUGUGGCUCCCUAAGCGCCUUCCUGGCUCCACUUCGCCUCUUGAACAGAAUGAAACCGUAACCCUUGGAUUUUCCAGACACCUUGUCGGUCACGGCCUUGCAAUCCUCGAUCUCUCCAUACUGCUUGAACGCGCUAACCAGCGUCUCCGCGGUGGUGUCCCAACCCAGGCCAUGGACGAAGAUCUUCCGAUGAACGGGAUCCUCGUCAGCUAUCCUACGGAUGCGAUCGGCCACGUCUCGAUGGACCUCAGCGGCCUCGCGUAGCAAAUUAACGAGCUGAUCUUUGCUAAACGGCUCCAGAAGUUUAUCUAUCGGCUCCUCAUCGUCGUCAUCGGGAACCGACGCGGGUGCGGCAGAAGAAGAAACAAUCUGCUUAUUUCCUCCGUUGUUCAGAUCUUCUUUACUGCCGUCCUCCUCCUCUUCCUCUUCCUCCUCCUCCUCCUCUACUUCUUCCUCCACUUCCUCUUCCUCUACAUCCUCCUCAACCUCUUCGAUUACCUCCUCUUCCUGUUUGAUCUUCUUCGCCUCUUCUUCUUCCAGCUGCUUCUGAUGUUGCAAUUGUUGCUGCUCCAGCUGCUGUUUCUUCGACGGUCCUGACGAUUCAGCGCCUGUAGCAGGAACAACCUUUCGCUUCCUCGCCAUCGCAAGCAAAGAAUCAGUGAAGACUGGAUGAAAGAGCGGCGGAGAAGCGACGUAGGGAAGAGAACAAAGUCGGUGAUUAGGGUAUGGGGUUUCAGAUAUUUUAGUUUUCGAGCGGGUGGUGUUCGAUCAAUGCUUAGUCUCCGUUUGUACGACGGAUAUGGAAAAAGAAUAACUUCGUUUUGGGCCUACAAUAAUAGGCCUAAAAUUGUGCCUGACUGAAGGCCUGCUGUGAAAGCCCAACAAGUAGGUGUAUUUCAGCACCAGCCCGCUAAUUCUUCUUCGUCUAAACCAACCUUGUUGAUCAAUACUCAAAAGAGUAAAAUUCCAUUUGACUAUAUAUGAACUAAAUAAAUAAAUACAACAAGUUAGUCACAAAAAUAAAUACAACAAUCAGUAACAACAUGUAAAACGAAACAUGUUAGCUUGCAAGUUUUUUUUUUCGAGCGCCGCUAGGGUUUAUCUCCACACCACCCGUCACUACCUAUAACAGCAUCACAAUCUCGCAUCUCUAUCCUCUAAUCCUUCCUUCAUCAUUUGAAAUCCCAAACAGCCAAUCCCCCAACAUACAAAACGUUGAUACCACCAACACUACCCAAUCCAUUGAGCUCGUCGAGCUUAUAACUAGCCCUCUAACACAGCUCAUACACUCUAUCACCACCACCAUCAUCUCUGCACCCCCAACCUCAACCUUAACUAAUACCACACCGCCCACCACCGACGAGUUCGAAGAGCAAGUCGCUGUCCUGAGUUUAGAUGAAUCAACGCCGCCGGCAAUGGCUCUCGCCGAGCUAGUCAAGGAACCGCCGACAUAGGAAUACCACCUAUGCAUGGUCGGCUCCUUCCUCACCAAAAAGGAGAUGAACAUCAACGCCGUUCGUCGCACGAUGCUGGUAGCAAUCGAGACGAGGGGUGGAGAUCGACGCCUUGGAGAGAGGUAUGUUCCUCUUCCGCUUCAACCACUUCAUUGAUGUACCCCACGUGAUCGACGGUGGCCCAUGGAGCAUGGAUGGCAUGCUGCUGCUCACACAUGAGCUCUGCCAUUGGGAGAUUCCGCAACAGGCCCUGCUCAAGAUGGUGGCGUUCUGGGUGCAGGUUCAUAACCUACCAUUUGGCUACUUCUCCGAGACAGCUGGGGAGGCAAUGGGGAACUACAUUGGCCGCUAUAUGGAUUAUGAUGAGAAGAACAGCAUCUACCAACCUAAAGCAUACAUCUGCAUCCUAGUUCUGAUAGAUGCUCGAGUUCCAUUGAAGAAGGAGCGUGUGGUUACCUUGCACGACAAACACGAGAUAACCUGUCAGUUCAGGCAUGAAAGGAUCAAGAACUUCUAAUAUAUUUGCGAAUAACGGGCCAUGUUGAGAAGAAAUGCGACCUACGAUUCGGUUACCCAGCUGACCAUUUAGUUCAGCGUUGGGAAGACUCUAUCAGGACGGAAUCCCGUUGGGAAGCGAAGACGAGGGGCGACGAAUCCUUGGCUGAUAGUUUGGGAAGACACAACUCUAAUUGGUAGAGGAUCCCGAUUUCGGGGCCAAGGACGUGAGGGGAAUGGGUAGAGUAACCCUUUCCGACAAACGUACGGGAGCUUGAUGUCUGCAUGGGAGCAAAUAACUGGGACAAGGACAACCAGAUCACACUCCUUACACCAGACGACCCUAAAGGUGACAGUCUCCUCAUUGAUGAUAAGAAGAGACGUAGGAACGACGCAGCGGUGGAUGACCCAAUGGAUGUCGAAUCUUUUGGUGGCCAAAAACCAUCGAAGAAACUAGGAGAAGCGCGGUAGCGAGCAAGAGCGACCGAGCUACAACUCAGUCCUGGUCGAACCGGAUAAAACAAGGCCUCAAUAUCGCUAAGAUCCUAUCCCCUCUUAGCGGAUGCAAUAAGGAUUUCAUAUCCAAGCUUUAUAGGUUUUUUGUGUCUUUUUCAACUAGAACUCAGUUUUUCUCUCUUUUAUUUCGUUUGAACAUUAGUUUGUAGUCUUUUUUUGGUUUGCUUUAAUAGCCUAGUCAACUCGGAUCGAAAAGAUUUCAUCUCAAAUCACCCGUUCAGUACAUAAAAAAGAGAAGAGAUUUGAGGAGAUUUGAAAUCACCUUGAGGGGCUUGAGAGAAUUUCAUGGGAAUCUCAAAUCAUCUAGGAGAGGUAGAAAUUUUGGAGGAGAGGAGAGAUUUGAGAAUUUUAACCAAAAUUACCUCUUAUUCCAUUGGUAAUUGAUAUGAUCAUAAAUAAACUGAAAGCAUUUUUGUAUUUUUUUUAUUGUUGUUUUACUUUUCUCUCUCUACAAUAAUUGAAUUCAAAAUCAUCCACAAAUCACUAAUUCAGACGGUCUAUUUCGAAAUUAGUAAGCUUCACUCAAAUCUUUUAUUUCAAAUCUCUAGCUAUUUUAAAUCUCUUCUAUUUCACAUCUCUAGCUAUUUCAAAUAUCUUCCAUUUCACAUCUCUAGCUAUUUCAAAUUUUUUUUAUUUCAAAUCACCUAUCCAAACGACUUGGUAAAAAAAAUAAGUUACAAUUGAAUGCUUUUUUGAUUAAAUUAGAUGAAUAGUUGAUAAAAAAGUUUUUGUUUAACGAAACUCACUUUCCAUUACUUCGAAAAUCACAAUACAUCAUGGGGAUUACACCAAGGUUGAAAACCAUAUGGGCAAAAGGCUGUCGUUCCUUGUUGCUUUGACAGCAAAAUUAGCCUGAGAGUUGGAGCUGCGAGAGACGUACUGAAAGGGAGAUAAGUGGCCUUGAGUGUCGUAUACUUUCAAUGGACCCUAGUAGUCCGUAACAUUCCCACGACCAUCGGUGCUUGGGCUCGUUGAUUGCCUGAACCACUGUGAGGCAAUAAGAAGGAUGAUGCUGAAAGUGGAGAGCGUAGAGGCUAUCUUAGCAGCCUCCAGGGCAGCUCUUGCUUCUAAAGCCAAUGUUGACGAGUAGAAGAAGAUCCCCGCCCUCCCAUCGAUUACUUUCCCUAAUGGAUCAUGAACGAUCACACCAUAGCCCGCCCUUUGGGAGUGGCAUUGAAAUGACCUAUCACAGUGGAUCUCCGUGAUGGAUGUUUGUGGUGUGGGGUCGUUGAGGAAGGGUUGUGUGUGGGUUGUAUGUAGGGGGUUGGUAGUCUAGUCAUGAAGGUCCUUCUCGAUGAGGGUGGUGGUGAAGGUAGGAGAAGGGGGUCCUUCAAUUGAAGACAUCAUUGCGCGCUUUCCAUAUUACCCAGCAAAUGGGGACCCAAGUUGAGGUCAUAUGACGCUAGGCCUUUGCCACAUGGCCACAAAAAAUACACAGUGAAGAAAAGUUUUUUCCCCUACGGUGCAUAUGGGCACGAACUAGAUCGGCUACAUCCACGCCAGUAGAGGUUGGCGGUGAGAGAAAAAAUGUUAUUGCAGCACCUCCAUAGGAAGAAGACCACCCUCGAUGAAAAAGUUGAGCAUCUAAAGCCAUUUCCACAAAUUGGGGGUCGUAGAAUCCCACGGAGACGAGAUUGGAGCAAACUCUCGAGUUGCGUGGUAGGUUGAUCGGACCGUGAAGCGUCUAAUUAAUUUCAACUGCAUGAUCCUCGAAUGACAAUAAAAAGAGAUAAUAUGUAAAUUCCGAGAGCGUUGAUCCUCAUGGAUCCAAUCCGCACCCGUUCGGAACGGAUAAAAAGUUGACAAGCUAGUAAUACAAGAACCCGUGAAUAGUGAAAAUAUCUGAGCCAUGUGUACAAAAUGCGAUGUUGAAUGAUUGAAUCACCAAAUCAUAAGAGUCCGCGUUAUUAGCCGUUCUUUUCUAGAAGUCUUUUUUAACUCCGCCAAGCCAAGAGGGCCUUUUAAUUAAAUUAUUAUCAGCUUUGUCUUUUAAAUUAAACGGAUUCAUUCAACGACCUACUGUGAUUAAAUUCCAUAAUCCCGUUGACUGUUGUCACCCGCUUUCUCUUUACCCGCCACUCACUCCCCCUCUCUAUAUUUAUAAACCAGAACAUCCAUGGCUGCCUCGCAUCCUAGAUAAGCUACGCUAAAAAAAAAAUCAAACAAAGAAAGAAAUAUCUCAUCAUACUCUGACAAGCCACUUCAAACUUCUCUGACACUGGGGUUCUUCCUUUCUCUCCCUGGAUCUCCCGAGAAAUCUUACUUUUCUUCCCCUUCUUCUCAUCCCCUGAAACUUGGCCUUCGAUAUUAAAGGAAACCGAGUAAUCUGCUUCCAGAAUCUAUUCUGAGAAGGAUUCAGAAGAUACCAUCCAAGAUCCAAAGUUAUGAGUAGAGUCGACGACCACCACCGUCUCUCAUCGGAGACAGAGCUCGUCGGAGUGGACAGAGUCCUCCCUAACAGCGGCCAGUUAAGCGGACCUCUCAACAAGCGCGGCGGCGCCGGAGGAAGGAAGACCAAGAGCGCCAGGUUCAACAUACCGGAGACCACCUCCGCCUCCGCCUCCACUUCCUCUGACAACCAUGACCAGCAACAGUACGUCGAGAUCACUCUCGACCUCAGGGACGACUCCGUCGCCCUCCACAGCGUCAAAGCUGCUAACGGCGCCGACGAGGAUCCGGAGAUGACACUCCUCGCCAAGGACCUGGAGAAGCGGACGGCUUCCAACAUAGGCUCCUCCGUCGUCAGAACUGCCUCGGCUAAGAUCCGUCAAGUUUCUCAAGAGCUCAGGCGGCUCGCCUCCGUCAACCGAAGACCGACGGGGAGACUUGACCGUACGAAGUCGGCGGCGGCUCCUGCUCUGAAAGGUCUCAAGUUCAUCAGCAAGGCCGACGGCGGCUCCGGAUGGGUUGCCGUGGAGAAGAGGUUCGACCAGAUCACUGCUGAUUCCCCGGACGGGAUGCUUCCCCGUGCUCGCUUCGGCGAAUGUAUAGGUGUGUAUGCAGGCCAACUAUAUGAGAAUUUGCCUCGGAGAGGGGAGAUGGUUUCUGAAUUCUGAAAGCUUUUUUUGGUAUGUGAUGAUUGGCAGGGAUGAAGGAGUCCAAGGAAUUUGCGUUGGAGCUGUAUGAUGCUCUGGCGAGGAAGAGAAACAUUCAGAGGGAUUCAGUCAGCAAGUUUGAGCUAAAGGACUUCUGGGAUCAGAUCUCUGAUCAGAGCUUUGAUUCUAGGCUCCAGACUUUCUUUGACAUGGUUGAUAAAGAUGCUGAUGGCAGAAUUACUGAAGAGGAAGUCAAGGAGGUAUGAUUUUAUAACCCAACCAUAAGAGUUUGAAGAUUUCAUUUCUUUUGUUAAUAAUCACUCAAAAGUAAUGAAUAUUUUGUUUGCAGAUCAUCACCCUCAGUGCUUCUGCAAACAGACUCUCGAAUAUCCAGAAACAAGCAGAGGAGUAUGCAGCUCUGAUCAUGGAAGAAUUGGACCCAGAGCACCAUGGAUACAUCAUGGUAAAAAGCUUGAUUUGACAACAAGAAUCAUGAUUUCUAAGAAAGUCAAGUUAAGAUUAAUGAACAAAAUUGAAUUGAGGUUGUUAAAAGGUUGUGAAAUGAAUAUUAAAUUAAGAAAUGUAAAGAAUUUUUAAGAAAGUUGGAAUUCUUCUAUCCCUUCAUCCAAAUUUUCUUUUACAAUCUCACCCAAUUCUAAUUCAACUUUCUUACACUAAUUUCAACUCAAUUUUCAAGAUUUUUGUUGCCAAAUAUACUGUGUUUGUAAUUUACCCUUUUUGUCCUUAUGCAAACAGAUAGAGAACCUAGAAAUGCUACUGCUGCAAGGACCAAACCAGUCAGUGAGAGCAGGAGAGAGCAAGAACUUGAGCAAGCUGCUGAGCCAGAAGCUGAAGCCGACGCUGGAUGAGAAUCCAAUAAGUAGAUGGCUAAGGAGCACAAAGUACUUCUUGUUGGACAAUUGGCAGAGAGUUUGGGUGAUGGCUUUGUGGAUGGGAGUUAUGGCUGGUCUGUUUGCUUACAAGUAUAUCCAGUACCGUGACAGGUCUGCAUAUGAGGUCAUGGGGGUAUGUGUAUGCUUGGCCAAAGGUGGAGCCGAGACUCUGAAACUAAACAUGGCUUUGAUUUUGCUCCCCGUUUGCCGGAACACCAUCACCUGGCUCCGCAACAAGACCAAACUAGGCGUUGCUGUUCCUUUCGACGACAACCUUAACUUCCACAAGGUGAUAAUCAAAAAAAUGUGCUUAUGUUUUUCUCUUAUUUGCAAUUAGGGCUGUUGAGCCAAGCCGCCUGCAAGUAGCUUGGCAUUCUGUUCGAAAAAAGUUCGUUGGUGACUCAGCUCGAUGACUUGUAAGCAUCCACAUAUGGCCAAGUUGGAGUUAGGGUAUGUUCAACUCGAUUGCCUCAAGCUCGAGUUCGAGCUGUAAUUGGACUCGUCGGGAGGGUUCUAAUGAGCGAAAUUUGAGUUAAACUCGAGUUUGGCUCGUCUAUGUUAGUUAACGAGCCAGACUUCAAUAGGCUCGAGCUUUAGAAUAGUGAAGUUUUUGGCUCGCUCGGUUCUUAAGCAGCCCUAUUUACUACCCUAGCCUUAGUGACUGACAUUUCUACCGUCUAUUUUUCAAAGGUGAUAGCAGUGGCGAUAACAAUAGGAGUAGGGAUCCACGCCAUAGCCCAUCUGGCAUGCGACUUCCCUCGCCUUCUCGCCGCGGAUGAAGAGAAAUGGGAACUUAUGCAGCCGUUCUUCGGAGACCAACCUUCGAGCUACUGGCAUUUUGUCAAGUCGAAAGAAGGGGUGACUGGGAUUAUUAUGGUCAUUCUCAUGGCAAUAGCCUUCACACUUGCCACUCCUUGGUUCAGGCGCAACAAGCUCAACUUGCCACCUUUCCUGAAGAAGCUCACCGGUUUCAACGCCUUCUGGUACUCCCACCAUUUGUUCGUCAUCGUCUACACUUUGCUUGUUGUUCACGGUUACUACCUGUACCUUACCAAGGAGUGGUACAAGAAGACUGUAAGUUGAUCCCUUUUGCCCCUCCCCCCCACCCUUGCCUUGCGAUUUUGUGAUCAAACCUGACUGGUUUUCUUUCGUUAUGUGCUUAUGUUGGAAUGCAGACAUGGAUGUACUUGGCAGUUCCAGUAGUGCUUUACGCCAGUGAGAGAUUGACAAGGGCACUGAGAUCCAGCAUCAAGGCUGUUACAAUCAAGAAGGUAAUAGUAUAAUUUAUGUUUAUGUACAAACUCGUAGAGAAAAGAUAUGGCUUUCUGAGACAUGAUGAAUGAUGAUCAGGUGGCCAUUUAUCCUGGAAAUGUGUUGGCACUUCACAUGUCAAAGCCUAAUGGGUUCAGAUACAAGAGCGGGCAGUACAUGUUUGUGAAUUGUGCUGCUGUGUCUCCAUUUGAAUGGCACCCGUUCUCCAUAACUUCAGCUCCUGGAGACGAUUACUUGAGUGUUCAUAUUAGAACACUUGGAGAUUGGACAAGGCAGCUCAGAACUGUCUUCCAGGAGGUACAAAAAAGAUUACUCUUCCUGCUCUGUUUCUGUUCUAACUGUAUCCAAGUAAUAUGUUGAUGAUAAUCAAGAUGGCAUUUCCAAAUGGUUUUGUCUUGGUAUAGGUGUGUCAACCACCAACCACAGGGAAGAGUGGACUCCUCAGGGCCGAUGAAUUUCAGGGGAAUAACAAUCCCGAGUAAGUACACUUGUUGAUGAUGUAAUAAACAAUGAGGAAAGCUAGAAACCGAAAACUAACAUGCGUACUACUGAUCUCAUUGUUAGUUGGCAUAUCGAAAGUUAAAGUACAUGAGAUUAUAAGCCUUACAAAAAAGCUGUCGUCCUUUCUAGGUAUAAUGGUAAACAGCCUUUAGGCGAUCUAAUAGUUUGUUUGAGUAUUAUAAACCCUUUUCCAAUUUUCUAAUUAGAAAGUUUAUCAACUAGUCCCAUGACCACCAUGUUCAGCAGCCAACAAGAGUGGCUGCUGAUGAAAAAGUAAAGUAAUGGCCAAUGGGAUAUAAUUAUUAUGCAGAAUAGCAGACCCUAGACCCCACCCCCACCAAACAUGAGAAGCGAGUGUCGUUUGUUAGCUGAUUAUGUUUGAAUAAUGACAAAAUAUUUGAUAAGACCAGUUGACGAUAAGUGAAUUUGAUGUUUAUUAAGGGAUUGUUUGGAUCACGGAUUUUACAUGUGUGGUAUUUUAAAAUAAAAUGAUACGUUAUUUAAAAAUAUGAUAUUUAUUAUUUAUAAGGUAUAAAGAUUUAGAUAUGAAAAUUAUUUUAUUUAGUUAAUGUGUUAAUUUAAUUUAAUAUUUUGAGGGCAAAUUAGUUGAAAUACCACAAUCUAAAAAUUCUACAACCUUUUUUGAGAUGUCAAACAAGUUUAUUUUGACUUAAAUAACUUAUAAUGAAUGUCAAGCUUAUUUGGGUAAAAACAUCUUAUCCAAACAGACUCCUAUGAUUGGGAAACUGAUGAUGGUUGGUGGUAAUUGUGAAUGGCAGCUUCCCAAGGAUAUUGAUAGACGGACCCUACGGAGCACCAGCGCAGGACUAUAAGGAAUACGAGGUGGUACUGCUGGUGGGUCUGGGGAUCGGAGCAACUCCGAUGAUCAGCAUCCUCAAGGACAUUGUGAACAACAUGAAAGACGAGGAAGAAGGGAUGAAUAAUAACAACAAUGGGUUGGAGAACGGAGGGAGGUCCCCAAGGAGGCAGUCUCCGAUCAGCCACCACAAUAAUAAUAAUAAUAAUAAUAAUAAUAAUAAUAAUAAUAAUAAAUCGAGCAGCAAGAGGAAGGACGCGUUCAACACGAGGAGGGCCUAUUUCUAUUGGGUCACAAGGGAACAGGGCUCAUUCGACUGGUUCAAAGGUGUGAUGAAUGAGGUUGCCGAGGUGGACCGGAACCAUGUGAUCGAGCUCCAUAACUACUGUACCAGCGUCUACGAAGAAGGUGAUGCCCGUUCUGCACUCAUCGCCAUGCUCCAGUCCCUUCAUCACGCCAAGAAUGGCCUAGACAUUGUAUCCGGAACGCGUGUCAAGUCCCACUUUGCCAAGCCUAAUUGGCGUACAGUGUUCAAGCAAGUCGCUGUUCACCACCCUAAUUCUCGAGUUGGUACGUAUAUACACUGUCGUUCCCUCUUUAAUAUCUUCGUUAGAUGUCAUGAAUUACAUUCUCGAGUUGGUAUGUUGUCAUGAAUUAUAAAUCUGUAGAUUAGGUGAUAUAUGUAAUUUGUGUGCCGUAAAACUUAAUUCUAAAUAUCUCUCUCAAUAAUUCAGGUUAUUGUGAUAAAGCGUUUUUUACAUGAUAUUAGAGCCCAAAAAAAUGAAAAAAUCUCCGUUUUGUAUUUCGGUAACCUCAAUUAGUGCACAUGACUUACUAAAGUUGUGCAAACAUCGACUCAAAUCAAUUUGAGGAGAUAUAUAUUAAAAAAAAAAAUUUAAACUCUUUCCCUUAGAUGAUUGUUCUUAAUUUCUUUAAAUCUUGUAGUUUUGAAUAAACACAUUUUGUUUGAAACUGAUGUGGGGGGUUGUUGUUUUAUUUGGCAGGUGUGUUUUAUUGUGGGGCACCGGGAUUGACGAAGGAGCUGCGAAACUUGGCUCUGGAUUUCUCACACAAGACCACCACCAAGUUUGAAUUCCACAAAGAGAACUUCUAAGUUUCCAUCAAUGUAUACGCGCCAAUAGAGACCUUAAAAUACUUUUUCUCUUCUUUCCUGUUCACUUCUUUUUGUUUUUAUGUUUGCUUUCUAUAAAUGUAUUUUAUUCUUUGAUGUGUUGCUGGCCUUUUUAAGAAUAGAUUUUUUACGAGAUAGAUAGUGGGAGAUGAUUAAGAGCAGAGUUGGGUAGGUGGGGAAGAGGGAGCAUAUAGUUGCGCACCAGCCACCCUAAGCUGUUAGCUUAUUAAUUACUUCUACACCUAUUAAAAGCUUAAAAGGGAAGUUUGGUGGUGUCAGCCUAGUUCGUCCUCAGUUGAAUUUUAUAUGCCAUAGAGAUGACAAAUAAUAUAGCUUCGGUUACUCGCAUUCACUACUCUCUUUUCCUGUAUUACUGAGAAGGGGGUUGUAUUAUUUACUAGGCCUCUCUGCUAAUGCUAUUGUAGAUACUUAUUAAGUGAUUAAUCAAGUACUAUGAUCAAUGUUAGUUUUCCAACUAAACCAAUUCAUUGAUUGUGUUCUCAGGGUAAUUAGAUGAAAAAGUAAACGUAAAAAGAUGCAUUCAGACUUCUGACCUUGAACUGCAUGUUGACAGCUUUGAGAAACGCAUGCAGCAGCAUGUGGUUUUUAUCUGAGCUUUCUUUUAGGUCUUUGGAAUAUGGGUUUCAUCAACUGUGUUGAGGUCGAGGGUUGUCCAGCUGCUUGGAUUGGCCGGAAAGCAACAAGAGGCCUUUUCAUUAUCUCCGAAAUGCUGCUGCUCCCAUAGACUGUCGGAGUUAGAGUCGGAGAGUUAUUUUUUGACUUUGCUUUCAACUGUCUAGGCACUUCCAGUCUUUCCAGUAUCCUUGAAGUUUUGGCGUCCAGCUGCUUGAUGCCAUCUGGUGCCUCGUUAAUCCUUGGUUUGGAGAUGCUACGGGUGGGAGAAUGCAGUAUCUUGGGAGCUUCAAGGACCACCAACUGCUCCCAUUCUUCCGAAAUCGAGGGUGUGUUUUUCGUAUGCUGCUUCAUGCCAUCUGAUGCCUCGUUAAUUCUUGGUUUAGAGAUGCUACAGGUUGGAGAAUGUAUCUUGGGAGCUUCAAGGACCACCAUCAAUUCUUCCGAAAUUGAGUGUGUGUUCUUUGUAUCUUCUCUAGCUGUAUGGCUCAUCUUCAGAUUUUCCUCUUCCAGCAUUAUGGCUUCUAGCUCUCCGUCUGAGAAAUCGAUUGCCUCCGACGAAUCUGGCGGGUUUAUUGAGCCCAGUUGUGGUGGUCCUGCAUCUACCUUAGGCGGGGGGAUCGACCUGAAUAUACAUUAAUCAAUCCCACUGUCAGCAGACAUCUUAGAUGUACAUUAGAAAGGGAAAAACUGAUGUUAUGCAAGAGCCAGAUUGUUACGAACAAAAAUUCAACACGAGAGAGUAACUGAUGGUUGUUACCUCAACUGUAGGCUCUCAUUUACGAGCGAGUUGAGCUUUUGAUGGAAGCCUCUCUCGUGCUGAAGAGGAUUAUAAUCACUUGAUUCAAUCUGCCAGCAAACCAGUUGAAAUGGAUGAAAUUACUGUCGAACGUAUCAAGUGCGCCACGCACGAUAUAUGUGGUACAAAGGAAAUUGACAUGAAAAGGAAAACAAGCAAGUGUAAGACGCAAGUCGACCUUCUGUAAUACGGAUUGAAUGGAACUCUGAAUAUCCUGAGUGAUUGAACGACUAUCCACUUGAUGGAGAUCGGGCAUAGGCAAGACUUCUUCUGAGCCUAACAGACGCUGCAAAACGAUUAUUUGCAGGCAAAGAAGUCAGGACCUGUGACAACAGAAGCCAGAAAACUGCAAGCACACCCCAACAUGCAGCCAAGGAAUAUAAGAGAAACCAGCAGAAGAUGUGGAAGCUAAGAUGGACGAUAUGGAAAGAGUUAUUUACCCUGAGAAGCAUGGGCCCAUUCUCUGAAGGCAGAAGGAUGUAAAAACAGUUGAAGGCUGUUCCCGCCAUAGUUUUUAGAUUAUAGUAUGAUGAACAUAUCAAUCCUUGAUCCAUUGAAUGUAAGGCAUGACAAAUUCCUCGGAAAGCUGCAAGAUCACAUCCCUUUUAGAAACAUGAAGCUACGGGGUUUCAUGGAACACAAAUCCUUUCCGUGGGAUCCAAUUAUUAAGAGUACUUCUAACUUGCCUUGAUCAUUAAGUUCCAGCCGAUCUUCUUCACCAGAAGAUAUUCCUAUCCUAUGAUAGUCUGCUGGCGUUACAAUAUAUGGAGAGCCAAAAAUGACACCUACGUUUCCACCAGUGUAGCAAGGAAGAGAAGGUUAAUAGUAAAUCCUACUGUAUGACAAGAAAUUUUACAUGGAGCUGAACAAAAGGAACCAGAGAUAGGUGGCAGAGGCAAUAGACUCAAACCAGUCACACUAUCACGCUGAAGCCUGAAGAUUUAUAAGCUCCCAAUACGUUCAUUGCAGGGAAACAAUUUUGUAUGUAAGAACACAAUAGUCACGACACAUAUGCGCUAUAUCCACUUUUUUUGUUAAAAGAAAAGACCACACGAGAAAACAUAGUAUGUCAUCCAAUUCACCAACUAUAUAUGACUAUGCAAAAGAAUGUCCGUGAACGAUGAAACAAAAUAUUAGUGCUUGUUAUUGAUCGCGCAAAGAGUGUAUCUUAUAACUCUUUCAGGAGAUUACCUUCACUCAAAGUCCUCAGGUUUGUUCUUUGAAUGAGGUUGAAUUCAAUGGGACAAGACACAUCUCCGGGCUUCAUAGGACUUUUCUCUUCAAUUCCCACAGAAUUCCAGAUAACAUCAAAUGCUCCAAGAAUACUGGCAGUGUCUGGACAAGAAAGAGUCUCAACUCUCUCAUGUGUCACUUGAUGCAAUUGAGUGCCACGACACCUGCAGGUCUGCAGGAAGUUCACUGAGAUCAUAUUAAAUUUACAAAAGAAGAGGAUAAAUCAAACUAUUCAUCAUAGCAUUAAAAAUCAACAGAACUAUGCAACGUUACAACCUGGCAGGUACCAAAAUCAUCGACAAAUUGAUAGAAGGAGCUGGACAAGCAACAGAGUAUAUGAUCCAGAUUGCCAACAAGGCUCUCCCCAAAGUUGAAACGAGCUAGUAAAGGUUCUUCCAUUUCGCUCCUUAGAUCAUGCAGCCAGCGUUUUGUCAGGCCGUGAAAUAUUUUGCUACCUGUAAAUCUUUUAUGUCAAAGCUGACCACAAACCACCUCCAAAGCAUCCAUAUCUAAAUUGGUGCCUUCGAUUAAUAAAACUGUUAAACAUUCAACCAAAAAACCAUUGACCUCCAUUUGAACCACACAAAAUUGCUAAAAGAUGUACUUGGGAAUAAUGUAGCAGUUUUUAGCACAUGACAAUACACCAAGCAAUAUGGACUUAUUAGACAACAGAGCAAGGCAAAAGCCAAAAUGAUAGCUCCUCAAAGUUGAUCCCUCUUAUCGUAGAAAUGCAGCACAACUUAACCUGGAAGAUAACUUUUGAAAUGGCAAUUAUGAAGAUCAGAUAAGCUUCCCACGAAGCUGCUUUUGUUCUCGAUCAUAUAGCUGAGAUUACUUGAACUUUGCUCGAUCAAUACGAACUCCACAGAAACGCCAUGAUAAGAAGCAUCCUGUUUCAUGAUAGAAGCUAAAAGGUGAAGGAAGCUAUUGGAGCAGGAGCAACAAGAGGAAUACGAGAUUUCCAUUUGGCUCACCGUGAGAAGCUUCUUUUCUGCGUCCUCUAUGGUUCUCGGGAAAUACGAACUUAGAACAAUUAGUUUCUUCUUGACAUCUCUACCUCCCCAUGAAUAAAGCGCUUCAUCAUUCAGUAUACUGGAAAGCUUCAUAUCUACUGACAGUCAAUGAAUACAACUUAUCGUCAUUUCAUCGAACACCUUGCGUGUGAACAGAAGGAGGCAGAGAGAACGACGAUUACCGCAGCAACAAAGAGUAUCGGAAUCGCUGAUAUCAGGCAGAAAAGAGUCUGUAGGAAAGUUGUUAACCGCCUGGUGGAAAUCGCGGAGACGGAAGUCUCCUAUAGGACUGUAUGCGACUUUGAGCUGUUCAAAAUCGUCAAACAUCUGUUCAUUUUCGUCCCGAAGAGAAUAAAACAAAGUGAAAAGAACAGUAAACAGCGGAUGGAAGAAGCGAAACACCUCGAUCGAAGACGAACUACGGUCGUCGGAGACGUAGCACAAGCCGAUCCUGUCACCAACGCAGUCCGGCUUCCCUCGUAGUGAAGAUGAAAUUGCAUAGUAAUUAGCUAGCUGCAACAAACACUGGUCGGAAUCCGCGAUAGUCAGCCAAAUCGAAAGAUAGACGGAGAGUCCUGCCAUUGCUGAAAUAAACAGGAAAAUGCACGUCGCUACCUGCUUUAGGUCUGCAACUGAGGAAGGCGACAGGCUGCAGAGAUUCAUCUCGAAACAGAGUAGCACCAUUCUUCUCUUGCUCCUCCUUCCCCCCGGGGGUUGCUCUUUCAACAGUCUUUUGGGGUUUGAAUUUCUUUCCCCUCCUUUGGCGCGGAAUGAUUAUAAAAAUAAACCACCGUCUCGAAAACAAGAAUAUUUAUGUGCGAUUGGUGAUCUGAAUUCCUAUUUGACGCCCUAAUUUUUGAAUUAAAUGACAUUCUAAUUUGAGUAAAUUAUAAUAUUAUCUUUUCGUAAAAUCGUAAUCCAUAUAAGUUGUGUGUAUUGACUAGUUCAAACACAAUCAAACACUUUCAAACGUUGAUCCGAAUAAGAAAUCGAAAAUCGGAAACGAACGUUACAUGUACGAAAUAAAUAAAAAAGGUAUGGAAGGCCUCGGCCGGCCGCUCGUUUCGGCAGAGAGGGGCCUAGGCCGGCCGCUGGUUCCAGCCCAAGCUAGUGCCGGCCGGAACAAGUUUAAAUGUAAUACUAGGAAAGGAAAUUAUAGAACAAGAAGACAAAAACGUCAGCCACACAAGAAUAGAGAGAUCCUCCAAAGUGAGUACGACGAAGUGGCCGUGUAGCUGGUGCGUCAAUGUGAUUGAUCUGCCCUUCCUUGUGGGCCGAUUGUAGGUGGCGAUGAUGUUGUUGUGGUUGCAAACGCCGCUUGCAAAGCGGCGGAGAGAUGAGUAAUCGUCAUCGGGGGCGCGACGAUCCCGUUGUUGGGGCUGUGGCGCAACGUUUAGGAUGAUUUGGAAGUCCCAUUGUUGGUUGCGGAUGCAGCGCUGCUCAUGACUAGGGUGGACGAUGGGUUAUGUCGGGAUGGGUAAGGGUAUGUUGAUGGUGAAGGGCGUUGGAUUGUUGUUAUCGCCGACGGGAAGGUUCGAACUGAAGGUAGGGUUUUGGCUAGGGUUUCAUGAAGAGGCCAUAAUCGGCUUUCACAAACUCUCAUACAAGAGGCGACAAGCCAACAGUCCAAACCAACCUAGUGACCUACUAAUUAUUAAUGCAUUUGGCUCCACUGCACCUUAAUUAAUCCUGUUGGAUCAUCAUCAGCUAUUCAAUAUGAAAUUUGUAUACACAUUCGUUCAAAGUGCUCAGCUAAUUUCAAUGCACACAUAUAAAAACAUAAGAUUAUGUACAUCUCAGAAAUUGAUUAACAAUUUUUAAUCGAAAUUUUAUCGCCANNNNNNNNNNNNNNNNNNNNNNNNNNNNNNNNNNNNNNNNNNNNNNNNNNNNNNNNNNNNNNNNNNNNNNNNNNNNNNNNNNNNNNNNNNNNNNNNNNNNNNNNNNNNNNNNNNNNUACACAAUCAAAAUGAACCAAUCAAAAUCAUUAGAUAUUAUUUAUCUUCACUUUAUUUUCUAUUCAUAAAUGUAUUUCUUGAAAAUUGUAGCAAUGUGCCUAUGUGACAUUGCUAAUUAACUUGUUAAAUUAGCAAGAUGGCUAUAUUAGCAAAGCAAUCCUCUCCAUCCCUAGCAAUUAUUUAAAUAGUGUCACAUUACCCUUCACAUCACUUAACAAUUGCUAAAAAGGUAGGGAUAUACAUGCUCUAAUACAACAAGCAAACUAUUGUAUUAAAUUGCUCAUAUGAUUAUUUGACUUUAUAAGGUCAUCUCCAUUGCAAAAUUUGUUUAUAAAUNNNNNNNNNNNNNNNNNNNNNNNNNNNNNNNNNNNNNNNNNNNNNNNNNNNNNNNNNNNNNNNNNNNNNNNNNNNNNNNNNNNNNNNNNNNNNNNNNNNNNNNNNNNNNNNNNNNNNNNNNNNNNNNNNNNNNNNNNNNNNNNNNNNNNNNNNNNNNNNNNNNNNNNNNNNNNNNNNUAUAAAUCAUAAUCAUAAAUUUUAUUUUCUUAAAAAGUGGUCCAUUUGCCUAUGUGACAUUGCUAAUUGACUGUCUAAUUUAGAAAUUUUGCUAAUUUAUCAGGCCUAUGUGGAUCCCUAAUAAAUGUUAAUUAGAUGUCACCGUAUCAUCCACGUUACUUUAACAAUUGCUAAAAUUUUACAAUGGAAAUAACCUAAAUCAUAUAAUAUGUCUAGGAAGAAAAUCGACAUCAAAUUGCCAUAGAGUAUCAUCACAACUAAAGCUAAUACCAAAUAAAAUACAAAUGGAUGAAUACUAAAAAAAUACUAUAAUCCACAUUUUACUCAGAGAUUUACGAACAAAAAAUUGUAGGCCUUAAAUAAAGAGGAUGAGAAUCCGUAUGUUAAAACUUAAAAAAUGUGAUUGGAUUUAAUCCCACCUUAUGUGGUUAACUCAUAUUUUGGAUUACCAAAAAACUCGGAGUAAGUAAAACACGAGCCAUCGUGGAAGAGUGUUGGAAGCUGGCGGGUCUUUGGAGCGCAACCUUUUAUGCUUGGUUGUCUGGAAUUGGUUUCAAAGAUUGGGUGAUGCAAUCCCUUGAUGUUUGGACAGAAAGAAAAAAAAAAGCUUUUGAUGGUAGUCAUUACGAACGAUAUGGCUAGAGAGAAAUCAUACGGUGUGGUAGCAAUGUGUUUCAACGACUAAAAAGAUGGCGACGAAGGGUAUGGAGACAAUAAAGGAUUGGCAAGCGAUGCAUCAUGUAGGUCAAACUCUACUAUUACUAUGGUAACGCCUUUUGGUUGUCCUAAAUGACACCCUCCCUUGCUUCACUCAUUCAAAUGUAAUGUGAAUGUCAAUUUUAACCCGCUAGACCAUUGUUGGGGAUUUGACAUGAUUUUGAGGGACCACAUGAGUUGUUUCAUCAAAUGUGUGGGCGUUUUCACUCGGCGAGUGUCCCUAAUGUUCAAGAGGACGAGGCCAUGACGUUACUUGAGGUAAUGAAUUGGGCAGCUCAUAGCGGCAAUUCGAACGAUGUUUUCAAGGUCGACUCAACGUAGGUUGCUACAACAGUGACAACCUGCACAAAAAACUCUACCGAGUUUGGUUAGAUUAUCAUUUCGUGUCAUGCUUUCUUGCUCAUAUAUUUUUUCUUAGUGUUGUUUCUGUUAUAAGAGAUAGGAGUUUCACCGCUCAUGAAUUAGCUUAACGAUCCUUUUCCUUAACACCGUCACAUGUUUGACAUACAAUUACACUCUCAUACAGGUAUAUACAACCAGAUGACUAAUAAUAUGAGCAUAUGAUUUUGAAAAAAAAAGUAAGACAUCGGGCUCUUUUAAAUUGGUUGUUUCGGAUUUUACCUUUUUAGAACUUUUUGAAUGAAUUUAUGAAAGUCAAAAAUUAUUUAAUAUGAAUAAAAGCCAAUUUGAAAUAAACCCAAUCCGGCCGAUUCCCAAACCUAGUUCACCAAGUAUAUCCAACGUGACGAUUUAUUAUUUUGGCAGCCGAGGAACGCCGGAAAAGGACAAAAAGAUUACUGGGUUUCGCCCCGCCACCGGCGGUGUGGUCCCCAAAUGUUUAAUGUAAUGUGCACUGAAACUUCUUUUGGCUCGUUUCUCAAUUUCCAUCGCGGAGCAAAAUUCUUCAAGCUGAAGGAAUCAGUGUUCCCGACGACAACCAAGGGGAAGAAACAACGUGGCGGCCAUGUCACUGGACGUCUGUCAUCCGUCUCCGAUCGGAUCGACACGUCUGCUCAUCCUCUGCCUCUCUCUCCUAACUUUUCCCUGCUUCCCCAUCACCGAUUCAGCAUGCCUCUGCUCUUCCGCAGCCGCCGCAAGGAUCAGUCACCCUUCCACUUCGCUUCGUUUUCUAGCUCAGACCACUGAUACAUUCUACUCAUGGUACAUCCAUACUUCUCAUCUACAGACUUCUCUCUUUCGCCAUCUUUGAUUCAUCUUUCAUCCGUUGACCAAACCCGAUUAGGCUGUAGGACUAGGAUGCAACCUUUUAAGCAAUUGUGCGAAAGGUUUCGUGCGAGUGUAAUUAGAGUUAAAUCGAGCAUCCAGGUAGUACCGUAGUAGAGUUCUUCUCUACAUUUCCGACCUCCGGUUUAUUUCUGACUUGUAAAUUUUUUGUUUGAUUUCUUUCUUCUUGGUCAGGACAGUGACAAAUUGAGCGGUGGCAAGUGUUCCAACGCUUCCCAACUUAGGGAAGCAUUCAAAAUAUUCAACGCCGGAUUCUUCACUGAAGCGAAGGUGCUGAAAGUUGCUAAAGAGGCCGUUGAGCUCAACUUGCCAAUCGCGGAAUCCAAUAGGAAGUUGGUUGCUUCUGUAAACGGUGGAUUGCAGGAUCCUUCUUGUUUGGUCUUCAGUUCGGAGUGGGCUCCCGGUAGUAAUGGUGCUGCCAUCGAUAAAUUUAACUAUCCUUCCGUCUCCGGCCUCAAGAAGAGGCCGGAAAAUGACGAGGAUAUUGCCUUUAUGAAUGUAAGUUGAUUUGAAUUUUUAGAAAAGUGAAAAAAUGGAAUCACCUCUUUGUUUUGAGAAUCUGCAUUUCCCCCCAUCCUUUCAAGAUACUUGAAUUAGGGGAGCUCCUUCGGACCGAGCAACUUACUUCUCAGCAACUUACCACAAUCUUCCUCAAGAGAUUGAAGAGGUUAGGAUAUAUGGAAGUUGGGUUAUGUAUAUGUAUUCCCAUGGAAAUGGAUGGUUGAUGAUCAAUUUUGCUUGUGAUUCAAAAUCCAGGUACAACGGAGCUCUUGAGUCUGUGAUCACUCUUACUGAAGACUUGGCUUAUGAGCAAGCCAAAAAGGCUGAUGAAUUGUUUGCCAAAGGAGACUACUUGGGUGAAUGUUUCAUCUACUCUAACUCACAGCAACCAUUUUCUUCCCCUAUUGCCAUUACAAUUUCUGGAAAACUGUUCUGAUGGUGGGUUACUUACUACAGGACCUCUCCAUGGCAUGCCUUAUGGUUUGAAGGACAUAAUAGCAGUACCUGGCUACAAAACAACAUGGGGUUCAACAAGUUUCAAGAACCAAGUCCUUGACAUCGAAGCCACUGUCUAUCAAAGGUAGCUGCUUCUCCGUGAGCAAACUCUUGACGACUACUUGGUGCAUCAAUUUAGUUUGCGAGGCCCAAUUUUGCUUCGAGGGAAUUUGCAGGUUGAAGGCUGCAGGUGCUGUUCUAGUUGCUAAACUCGUUUCGGGAUCCCUGGCCUAUGAUGACAUUUGGUUCGGAGGCAGGACUAGAAACCCUUGGAACAUUGAGGAGUUCUCCACCGGUUCAUCUGCUGGACCUGCUGCUAGUACCUCGGCUGGUAUGCUUCAUCAAUCUUUGGAUUGGGUAUCUCAUGAGACUGCUUUUGGAUGAUUCUGCUGCAUACUAAUUAAGAAGUGGGGAUUUUUUUACAGGAAUGGUCCCUUUCGCAAUUGGUUCCGAAACAGCCGGCUCAAUCACAUACCCUGCUGCUCGUUGUGGGGUGACUGCAUUGCGCCCGACUUUUGGCACUGUUGCUCGAACUGGUGUUAUGAGCAUAUCAGAAAGCUUGGUGAACUUUUCUUCAAUAACUUAUGUAGACCCGUAGGGGGUCCUCCCCAUCUUCCUGCUGGUCUUAAUUUUUCUUUUUGUAAUCUGGGGAACAGGAUAAGCUUGGCCCUUUCUGCAGAAGCGCCAUUGAUUGUUCCAUAGUUCUCGAUACCAUUCGUGGGAAAGAUUCAGACGAUAUCUCUUCCAGAGAUGUUCCCCUUCAAGACCCGUUCUCGGUCGACAUUACUAAGCUCACAGUUGGAUAUCUAGAUGAUGCCGAAAUGGAGGUCAGCAAAAUCUUGCCCCACAUUUUUAUGAAUUGGAAUAUAAAUGUGAACCGAUUGAAAAUGUUGAAUCUAGUUAGAAAAAUCGUACUAAAUAUGUUUAAAAUUUCUGUUUUCGUACUACUAUAGAGUCUAUAAUUUUUUGAUGUUUGUUUGUUUGAUAUUUCAUGCUGCUUAAUAAUAUAUUAAAAUAACGUUUAAAACUCUGGAUGUAUUAAUACCUUACUUUACUAACCAUGAUGCUCUAAAGCUGGGUGUUUUGUUAGGUUGUGGAUGUGCUCAAGUCCAAAGGUGUGAACAUGGUCCCAUUCAAUCUAAGCUACACGGUGGAUUCCGUCCAAGGAAUACUAAAUUUCACAAUGGACGUUGAGAUGCUGGCUCACUUUGACCAGUGGCAGCGCGAAGGGCUGGACGAUGUUUACGAAGCUCAGGAUCAAUGGCCCACAGAGCUCCGCCGUGCCCGAGCAAUCUCGGCCGUCGAUUUCUUUCAUUCCCAAAGGGCGCGAUGGAAACUCAUCAGGGAAGUGAAAGAAAGCUUCACAGUCGACGCUUUCGUUGGUAACGUGACAGACUGGGAGAAAGUGUGCUUGGGUAAUUUGGUUGGUUUGCCGGUUAUGGUUGUUCCUACAGGGUUCAAGAAUAUUCCGAACCCGCCCUCCACCGGUACGAAACGAAGAACCACCGUAACCACUGGGAUCUACGCUCCUCCUGAUCAUGACCAUAUCGUAAGCCUCUUUCGUUCUCUUCCUGAACCGUCUAGGGGUAGAAUUCAGGCCGGGUUUGAUUGUGUUUGCCGCUACGUGGUCAAGUCAUUUCGGGUAAACCUGGACUAAACAAGAUAGAGAUUGGGUUUGCUUAUAAAGAGAUUCGGGUAAAGACCUGAACUCGGUGAAAGCCUGGUUUGACCGGAUUGGUUAAGCCCGAUCGGCCUGAUUCUCUGCCCUAGUUUGACUCGCAUUUUAUAUAAUGUGCCGAACUGGUGAGGUUGCUAAUCCUUUCUUUGCAGGUCCUGGCGCUGGCAAUGGCGUACCAGUCGGUGACGGAUCACCAUAAGCAGAGGCCGCCGAUUGAUAAUCUUGGCCGAGAUGAUGUGAUUCCCGACCCGCCCAAGCACAUCAUCCCUCCCAGAGUUCUGCGUCUCUGAACAUACUUCUUCCGCCCUGUUGCGGAAUAUUCGGGUGAAAAAAUCACAAUGCAUAUAGCAGCACCUUGUACAUUAGUUCGUCCAUGGCGAAUUGUCUGCUACGGUUUCUGUUACAAGUCUUCAAAUUUUGUCUACUAGAGUUCCUGCAAGUCUUCAAGUUUUGUCUGUUAGAGCUCCUGCAGAAGUGUUCAAAAACGUAACCAGAUGAGUUGAUUAUUCUGUGUACGAAAAACGGGCUUUUAUGUGUUAAAAAUGCAAAAUGGGUGUGCCUAAUGAAAUGUUGAAUACCCUAGCGUUAUGGAGACUAGAUUGGUGGGAGAGGUGAAGCAAGGAAAAAGUCGGAUUAUGUUUUCGGCACCGAAUUGGAUUUAUUUCGGAUACCAGAUAAUCAAAUUAUUUAUGCCCUAUAAGUGAGAGCAAUUCCACUAAAUUUGAGGGCUUUAUUGUACUUAAUCCUAAUUGGAGAGGUUUGUAAUUACAAAUCUAGCGGAUUUCGUUUGGAGAGAUUGGUACUUACAAAUCUGGCCAAUUCUGCCUUGCAUCCUAAUUGGUUAGUGACAAUGGAUAAUACAAAGAAAGAAGGGGUACUUAAUUAAAUGUAUUGGAACGUGAAUAUAACCCUUGAAAAAAAUAUAAAAAAUAAAAUGUAUGUUAAUUGCAUGUGUUGUGGGAAGUUGGAAUUUCACUUUCGAGCUCCAUCAUCCAGACCAACCACAGUCUUUCAAACGGUAGAAUUUAAUUUGAAGGCCAUUACUUCCCCGACAGCACGAAUUCUAAAUAAUUAAGACGAAUUCCCUGCAAAUUACAGUUUCUGGAUCAAACAAUACAAACAGAUCGUUGCUCUGUGUGCAAAGAGCACACAGCUUUUUUUUAAUAUUUUGACUUCUUUUAUCUAUCUUUCUGCCCACUACUCGAUUUGUAACGAACUGCAAAUACCCGAAUUCCGCAGGUUACCCGAUCAGGUAUUUUACGUAAUUUUGCCACAAAAAGAAGGGUAUAUCCAUCCACUCCCCCAAAACCCGCAUUGCCCCCUCUUCCCCCUUCUACCCUCCCUCCCUCCCCCUGUUCUGUCGUGUUUAUAUUUCCUCCCAAACUCCUAAAACUCUCUUUCUCUCUACUCCAUCUCUCCCCCCCGCCGUCUCAUCUAAACUCUCAGUCUCUCUCUCUCUCCACAGUACAAUUCCCAGAGAUCCACUCAGGGAUCCACUCAGGUAUAACUCAAUCUCACUAGAUCGUAUCUUCUUCUUCUUCUUCGACUCCAGCUCUGCCGGCUUCUGCUGCCGUCCGAGCUCUGUUUCAGAUUUGAUUAGCUUCUUUCUCUAUUUGUCCGUCUCUACAUGCAAUUAUCUGAAUAUCAUUCUGUAUCUCUCUCAAAUGCGUCUCACUUGAUGGCGGCUUUGAUCGCAUGGCAGAUCGAGCUGUUUUCCUGUUCAACAGCUGGUUGUUGAUUUUAUUUUUUAAAAUUUUGUAUCGAUCGGGCGUUAUCCAUUGAUGCAGAUCUGACAGAUUCCGGAUCUAUUAUUGUUUGAAAUUUCGAGCUCAGCUGAUUCUCAUUGUUUUGGUUUGAUUCAAUGCAUCAUGGUUUUUUCAUUGGUUGUUAAUUCAUUUUUCACCGAUCGUUGCGUAUGCGUGUGGUUUGGUUACGGAUGGAUGUCGUUGUUUGACUGUGGAGUGUUUUGGUGGACUCUCUGCUGGUGAUCAAUGACUACUUGAUACAAUGAUACCUGCAUGUCGUAAGAUUUUGUUCCUUGUGAUUCACGUGUCUUAUGGCCUUGUUUUUGCCUUCCGUUAAUCGGAGCGGGAAUCCGAUGCAUUGUUUGGCUACUACUCAUCGAUUAAUUCAUUUUUGGAAGUUUGCUUUGUGUAAAUUCUUUUUCCGCAGGAUUGCAUGUGCUAAUUUUCCUUCUAUUCCAAUGCGUAUGUAUGAUGGAAUGUGAUAUCUGCGCCUCUACUUUUUGUUCUUGUUUCUUUCUGAAGGUGGUUGUUUUCUUGGUCUUUUUGUAAAGAUCUUAGCUGUUGCGAUGGCGACAUCAACAGCUGGGGCCACAGGAUGGUACAAGGGGAGAGUGAAAGCUGUGACAUCUGGUGACUGUUUGGUCAUUAUGGCUAUUACUACUAGCAAGCCCGGACCUCCUCCUGAGAAGACUGUGACUUUGGCUUCUCUUAUGGCACCUAAGCUGGUAACCUUUUUCUGUCUCAGAAAAUCCUGUUUAAUUGUUCGUUGUUACUUGAAAUCUGGAUUCAUGUAGCCGAAUCUUAAUCUUCUGAGUCAGAAAUUGCAUAGUUGGAAAUGAUGGUUCUAUGGUUUUCUCGUAUUUUGUUUUGCAGGCUCGGAGAGGUGGGGUUGACGAGCCCUUUGCUUGGGAGAGUAGAGAGUUUCUGAGGAAGCUUUGCAUAGGGAAGGUAAUGGUUCUUGCACUUGCGUUUGAUGUUAUUCCAGCUGGAGGAAACUGUGAUGUUAAAGUUCGAUGUUCUUGGUUUGGUAUGCCUUAUGUGACCUUUCCUUCUCUUUACAGGAAGUAACUUUCAAGGUUGACUACGCUGUCCCUUCAAUUGGAAGGGAAUUCGGUACAGUCUUCUUGGGUGACAAAAAUGUUGCGUCACUGGUUGUUUCUGAAGGCUGGGCCAGGGUAAUGUCUCUCUUGUGACAUGUUCCAUAUGUUUUAGGAUGGUUUAAUACAUCAAUUGGUCUAAUUGAUUCAUUGAACCAUGAAUCUUUAGGUCAGGGAGCAGGGAUCACAGAAAGGAGAAGUGAGUCCCUUCCUUGCUGAAUUGCUACAGCUUGAAGAACAAGCUAAGCAACAAGGUCUUGGUAAAUGGAGUAAGGUUAGUUGCAUAUCGUUUCUUAAAGAAUUUAAGUUAACUAUACAUUUUUCUUUAAAUUUCAACCAAUCAGAAAGGACAAUGCUCUGAAGUAUCGCUUGCUAGGAGGUUAUCUGAUGUGCAUACCUUAGCUGUGAUAUCAGUUAGAUAAAAUAGUGCUACUGGAAUUUCAAAUAAAGGUCGGAAAUAGCGGUUUCAUAGAUAGGAUGGAGGGAGAACCAUAACUUGGAGGUGAUAAGCCACAAAAAACCACAAGAAUAACUCUUGUAACAAAUGUUUAAAACUCUUACUUGAAUCUGAUGCCUAAAAACAACUACAAGCUCUCUUUAUAGACGGUGCGAUAGACUACUAGUAGUAAAAUAACUCCCUCUACUACCAAGACAUCGUUAAUACUAUUCUUAGUGUCCUAAAUAGUUCAAAUAGGUUCAACAAUGUGGCAUAUUAUUUAGUAAUGGAUCUAAAUUCCUGUUACUUUUUAAGCUCUUCUUAUCUGUUAGUGGUUUCUUAUGAUGCAUCAAGUUUGGAGAAAGUAAAGCUGAAUGUGUGUUUCUUUCUCACUGUAGGAUCCUGGUGCUGCUGAGGCAUCUGUCAGAGAUCUGCCCCCUUCUUCAAUUGGAGAUCCUAGUAACUUGAAUGCCGAAGCUUUUAUUGCUGAAAACAAAGGUAGACCGAUGGAAUGCGUUGUUGAGCAGGUUCGUGAUGGCAGUACUAUCCGGGUGUAUUUGCUCCCAGAUUUUCAGUUCGUUCAAGUUUUUGUUGCUGGAAUUCAGGUAUGUAUUCUAUGGAUUUAUUGUUACUUCACAUUGUGGCCAGUCCUGGUCCAUCUAGAUGCCUAACCAUAUAUUCUCCCAAUUAUAUUCUUUUCGUAGUCCCCAUCAAUGGGUAGAAGACCACCAGUAGAAAAUUUCAAAGAGUCAGAGGCAAAACCCAAGGAGUCUAACGGAGAUGCCUCUGCGCCCCAGGCUCCCCUGACUACAGCGCAAAGAUUUGCAGGUUCUGCGAUGGCUGCUGAAGUGGCUCCUGAACCGUUUGCUGUUGAGGCCAAACAUUUUACAGAGCUUCGUGUUUUAAAUAGAGACGUAGGUCCUUCCUCAUUUUUAGUAGCAUUAUAUCUUUUGAUGGUCCCACUUACCACGUUCUUGUUUUACAGGUUCGUGUUGUAUUCGAGGGUCAUGACAAGUUUAGCAAUUUGAUUGGGUCGGUGUAUUAUCCUGACGGUGACACUGCUAAGGAUUUGGGUUUGGAACUUGUGGAAAAUGUAAGUAGGCUAAUCUUUUCCAUUAUCUUAAGGUUUGCUGUCCUCCAGGCAUUGUGUAGCCAUAAAGACAUUUGGAGUGCUCCAGAUACUUACUUUCUGAAAUGGAAAUUCUUGGUUUUUCGGUAUGAACUAAUUUCAAAUUGUGAUUGGAACUAGUUCACUCAGCUUGUCAUUUUGGUGUGUUUGAAGGAAAUGAUUUCAAAUGUAUGACGUUGGAGAGUAUCCUAUUUUUCAGGGUUUAGCUAAAUAUGUUGAAUGGAGCGCCAACAUUCUGGAACAAGAUGCCAAGCAAAAGUUGAGAGCUGCAGAGCUUCAAGCAAAGAAAAUCCGCUUGAAGAUUUGGACAAAUUUUGUUCCAGAUCCUAAAAAAUCAAAAGCAAUCCAUGACCAGAAAUUCUCUGGAAAGGUGCCGUUUUGGUUUAUCAUUUAGUGUUCUGCCUGGUAUCUUAACAGUUGCGUCUAAGUUGAUUUUCUGCCAGGCUUAACUCAACUUUCGUUUAUAGGUUGUGGAGGUUGUAAGCGGUGAUUGCAUCAUUGUAGCCGAUGAUUCUGUCCCCUUCGGACAGCUGGCUGAAAGGCGAGUCUAUCUUUCAAGUAUUAAGUGUCCAAAAAUGGGGAAUCCUCGUAGAAAUGAGAUUCCUGAACCAUAUGCCCCAGAAGCAAAAGAGUUCUUGAGAACACGCCUCAUCGGCCAACAGGUAUGGAAUUAUUAUGAUUGUUCUACCCAUUUCCUGGCUGUUACGGACAAAACAUGCAAGGUCUUAAUGGUUCAUUUCAGGUCAAUGUGCAAAUGGAGUACUCUUGGAACCCUGAUGCAUCUGGAGGUGCGGCUGGUGGUGAGUCGAGAGUAAUGGAUUUUGGGUCCAUCUUUCUUCCAUCUGCUACCAAGGGAGAAGGAGCACCAGAAGCUGCACCAAAUGCUUCUGGUCAGCAAGCCGGUAUCAAUGUGGCUGAGUUGAUUCUCUCUCGUGGACUUGGUUCUGUUACCAAACAUAGAGACUUUGAGGAGAGGUCAGACUUCUAUGAUACCCUUCUUGCUGCUGAAACACGGGCCAGGAAUGGAAAGAAAGGGAUUCAUUCCACGAAGCAGCCUUCUUCCACGCACGUAACAGACCUCACUACGGACGCGGUUAGUAGUAGUUGUUGUGGGUUUUCUUUUUCAAUACAUAGUCUGGUGGACCUUAUAAUUUUCAAAUGCUAAUUCAGACAUCAGCCAAGAAAGCCAGAGAUUUCUUGCCGUUCCUGCAACGUGGUAGAAGGAUUACUGCUAUAGUGGAAUAUGUGCUUAGUGGUCAUCGUUUCAAGCUGUUGGUUCCGAAGGAAACUUGCAGCAUUGCGUUUUCUUUUUCUGGUGUUAGGUGCCCCGGUCGUAACGAACCUUAUGCAGAUGAAGCAAUUGCUUUCAUGAGGAGGAGGUUAAUGCAGAGAGAAGUAGAGGUAUUUGUCCAGUUUCUGGUUUCUUUUUCAGCUUUACAGAUUCUUUGUUUUCUUCAGUUUGGUUGAAAUCCUUUUUUGUUCACACAGAUUGAAGUGGAGACCGUAGAUAGAACUAAAACUUUCCUGGGAUCCUUGUGGGAGUCGAGAACUAACAUGGCAACCGUUCUUUUGGAAGCUGGCCUGGCAAAACUGCAGAUGUCCUUUGGUAGGGACAGGAUUGCUGAUGCCCAUCUUCUUGAGCGGGCGGAGGAAUCAGCCAAGAAACAGAAAUUGAAAGUAAGGAGCAUAUAUACUCUUGGUCUGAGCAAUCUACUGAUGCCAAUGCAAUGAGUUCAUGAGUUCAGUAAUAAGUUUUUACCAUCCUUAGAUGCACUGUUGAUUAUGUGUGUUAUUUGGGGUACUUCAAUUUUCAGAUAUGGGAGAAUUAUGUUGAAGGGGAAGUGGUAACUAAUGGUGCUCCAACCAUUGAGGGCAAGCAGAAAGAAGUUCUGAAGGUGGUUUGCUCGUUACUGGACAAAUAUGCUCUUGUUUAUUCAUUAGUGGUCCAUGACUUCCCAUUGUAAUGUUUUUUGCAGGUAGUGGUUACCGAAGUUUUGGGAGCGGGUAAGUUCUACGUCCAGACUGUUGGGGAUCAGAGAGUAGCAUCUAUUCAGCAACAGCUCGCAUCCCUUAAAAUCCAGGAAGCUCCAGUCAUUGGUGCUUUUAAUCCAAAGAAGGGUGAUAUUGUACUGGCACAGUUCAGUGCAGAUAACUCGUGGAAUCGAGCUAUGGUAUGAAUCUGCCAAUUAUUUCUUUCUUUCCUUCACUCAGGAUGAUUGUGUUCUGAAUAAGCAUGACUUGAUCCUCCUCUGUGUGAAAAGAGGGUUAGUUCUCCUCCUGCUUCCACAGCUUGAGAAGAUUUGAUAUAAUUAUGUUCACUGCUGAAGUUUUUAGUUGUCAUAUGUAGCUAUUGUAUUGAUUAUAAACUGAUGACUAUAAUUUAUUUGGUGAAGAUUGUGAAUGUGCCACGCGGAGGAGUUGUCCAAUCAACAAAGGAUAAGUUCGAGGUGUUCUACAUUGAUUACGGGAACCAGGAAGAGGUUCCGUACGGACAUUUGCGACCUAUUGACCCUGCAGUCUCUGUAGCACCUGGACUUGCACAGCUAUGCAGCCUGGCAUACAUCAAGGUCCCGGACUUGGAUGCUGACUGUGGCCCAGAGGCAGGUGAGUUUUUGAGCGGUAGCACACUUAACAGUGGGAAAGAGUUCAGGGCAAAGAUAGAGGAGAAGGAUGUUUCCGGAGGAAAAGUUAAAGGACAGGGAACUGGUCCAGUCCUUAUCGUAACCCUCGUGGCUGUGGAUGCUGAAAUAAGCGUAAAUGCCGCCCUGGUUCAGGUAAAACUUACUUUCUCUUUUUGUCCAUUUCAUUAAUGGGUGGUUUGAUUUUGUAAUUUGGUCGAAAGUGAUUUCAAAUAGCAAGUGAUUUCGCAGUAGAGUUUUGGAAAUUAAAAGAAAAAUAUAUAAUUUAGUAAAUGACUAAUACACCCCCGUAACUUAUUCAAUUCUCCUAAACCUAACAAGGCAAUUUAGUCUUUUCCUACCCAAAUAAUUUGAGAUUUGGUGAAUCUCUUGUCCAUGAAGUGGAUUUGAAAUCACCUCCAAAUCACUUAGGGGACCAAAAGGUGGUUUCAAAUCCAACUUUAUUUUCGAAUUCAAAUGUGGUAUUUUGACCAAAUCAUCAUCCGGGACUACGAAAUCACUCUGCAAAUCUGAAAAACAGACGACCUCCAAGUGAUGGAUGCUAGCGUGCCUUGUUGUGGUAUCAUUGUAGUGAUGGUUGUUGUGGGUUAUGGUAUUUGCAGGAAGGACUUGCUAGGAUAGAGAAGAAGAGGAAGUGGGAUCCAAGGGAGAGACAAGUAGCCCUUGAGAACUUGGAGAAGUUCCAGGACGAAGCUCGAUCGGGCAGGAGGGGAAUGUGGGUCUAUGGAGAUGUGCAGUCAGAUGAUGAGGAUGAAGGUGGUCCUCGUAAAGCUCCAGGCGGUGGUGGACGUCGAUGAGCUAUGAACUAAAUCCUCCCCACCAAACGUGGUGCUCCGGGAGAAAAGAGUGACUGCCAGAUAGGGAGAAACCGAAAAAAGAAACAAUUUUGUUUUGACAAGUUUUGUUUGGAACAUGCUUUUAAUUUGUUGUUUUGUUUUGUGUUUUAGCUUAAGAGGGUUGGUUUGGUUAUAAUUUGUAGGCGAGAAAUAAGGUGAACUAUUUAUAGCCAGAGACUGGUUUCUGUUGGCAGAGUGUACCUUUGAAUACUUGUUUAGUACGUUCCUUCACUUUCACUUUCACUAUAUUACUCCCCUUCUUCCUUCUCCCUCAACCAAUUAUUAAGUUGCUGGCCAAGUAAUGGUUAAGUUCUUCCCUACAAGUGAUUACAGAUUAUGGCCUUGAUCUUGAAACCAUACUUGUGGAACAACCAAUGACAAGGGGAUUCUUUACGUUCAGUGCCGGCUUUUGUGCUCUUCCUAUGGAGUUAUUUCCAUUGUGCAACCGCUGACAGGCUUAGAAUCUUGUUGUUGAUUGGGUUCAUGAGUUGAUGUCGAGGGCGUGGGAGAUCGAAUUUAUUCAUAUCUUUAAAGAAAACAAUCAUGCAACAAAUUAUUUAGCUUGUAUUGGGCACGAGUUGUCCUUCGGCGUGUACAAAGGGUACCUUAUUUGAUGCUUUCUUGGCCUACUGAUCACGUUAUAAUAUACUUGGCGAUUAUGAAUUUCAUUUGAUCGUGAAUAAAAAUAGGCGCACUCCGCCUAAUGGUUAAAAAUAAAACACUAGGUCUGCAGUUUUGUUUCGGGCAGGAUACGAGGAUGAAAGUUGCAUAAUUUUGUCUUGUUCAUCUGGAUUCCAACGUCACGGGGUAGCUUAUCCAUUGCUAAUUAACACAGCUAAAGACGAAAGCAAUGCACCAUUAAAAUAGAAUUUAUAUUAGACAUUAAAAAGAGUCCCCAUUCACUAAAGAGACUUGGUUAUAAUUGGAGAAGAAAACCGUUGGUGUCUUCAGUCGAUCAAACUGAUGUACAAUUUCCAACAAACUUCUAGCAAUUAUUGCAUAAAGCUACAAACUGAGUUCCCACCUUUUUCAGACAUGUCACUAAUUGAUUUAGCGGAUAUAAGUUACAAGACACAUCAUUUCAAAGAUCAUCCAAAUCUUCUUUUUUAUUUUAUAGUUCUGGUCUCAUUUUUUUCUGUCAGAUUUUGAAUCUAAUUUCUUAUACAAUCUCAUUGGAUUAAGAUAUAGACACGUUUUUUUUCUUAAUUAGAAUAUCCAGACUUGACAUAUAAUGUAUUGCGGUUUUUGAAUAUGUAAUUAUUUCUAUUUAAAUCAUCUUCUUUAUGCAUUUCAAUAUUUAUAUAAAAAAGAAAUACGGUUUUUGUUAGUCUAAAAAUGGACUAUAUGGGCAAUUGGACUGUGUGAGUAAAGUUGAAUUGUGUUAAUAAAAAGCAGAUCGUGUUAGUAGAAAAUGGUCUGGGUUAGUAAAAACAUAUUGCGUUUGUAAAAUAUGAACUGUACAAAUUAUUAAGACUAUAAUAACGGAAUACGAACGAUUCUUAGCACAGAUGAGUCAUUUUUGUGUCCCCUCCUGAGUUAGUAGCUUCGGACAGAUCAAGGGAGGUUUUUGAAAGCUUUCAUAGCUAACCUUGGAAGCUGCUAUAUUACUCGUGUUGAGAUGCGUUGAGGACCUUCGGUUGGCUUGGUCCUUGGGUAUUCGUUGUAUUAGAGUCCUUUCCAACUCUUUGUUGGUGAUUUCUAUUCUGCUUAAGGAUUCUUCCCUCUAUCACCAACAUGCUAUUUUUGUUCUACAGUUCAAGGAGCUCUACAGCCGCCAAUGGGAAGUUCAUCUAUCUCAUACUUACCGCGAAGCUAAUUAUGCUGCGGAUUAUUUGGCUAACUUGAGCCAUUCUUUUGAUUUUGGUAUACAAGUUUUUGAUUCGUCAGAUCGAAAUCUUGUCCUACUCGUUAUAUUAUGAUCUCGUAGGUGUCUCGAUACCUAAAACUAUGAGAGUUUCUAAUAAUACUUAGUGCACUUCAACGGCGUAAUCGACAAAAUAAAAAAAUACGAAGGACGCAAAAUACAACACAAACCAUAAUAUAAUUUAGUAUAAGUUCAAUUUAAUAAUCGACGGUCAGCCUAACUUAUUCAACAUUAUUGCGAAGAAAUAAAUUUAAAAAUACAAGUCAUCCUUCACGUGUUGCCGAACAAAUUUGUAUAAAGUAGUGUGUGUUGGGGUGGUUUGGACAAAUCAAUUUCCUUGGAAUACUAUGCAAAAUCUAAAGAAAGACAAAAAGGUUAACUGUUUUUAUCUGUAAGGUUAACUUGUUAUAUAAAUACUCUGCAAUUCCUCCACAAACGCAAGUGAUCACAGGGAUCCAACUUUCUGUGAACUCUCUCCCUCAACGGCCAUUUUUUCAAUGAGGACAGUAGAUGAUUAUCAUCAUCUCUUCUUCCUCUUCCUGCAGAUUAUUGCCGUUGAAGACGGGGAGUUCAUGAAAUGUUUGCUCUCUUCCUCUCCCUCUUCCAACGGCGGUACUAGGAUGGUUGGAGUCGACAUCGGACGAUAUUUCAAAUUUGAGGUGAAUUUUUAAAGCAUUAUGUCUAAGUCAAUUUUAAUGAUUUCACGUAGAAUUUCAUGAAUUUCGAGCCAAAUGAUGCUUGCAAGUAUAUCUCAAUGUCCGGUAAUGCUUUAUUUGCUUUUAUGACUAAUAAAUUUACCAAAUGGUUGUUCUAUAGCGUAGGAGAAAGGAUUUGGUCAUCCAUGGAGCGGUAUUUCAUCUGCUUUGGAACUCUAUUUUUAUUUUAUAUUUUGUUAUGUAUUCACCCUAUUUUGUACUAGUUGUGUCUAUCCUCGUUCAAUUAGGACCCUUGUGGUCCAGUUUGAUGUUUUGAAUUAGUAUUUUUAGUAAUCUUCAGGUCACGUCAUGAUAAAGAAAUCGAGCAUAAAGUCAUUAAUUCAAACAUGAGCUAAAUCGGGAGUGGGAUGCACUCGGAUGGACGAAACAACAAACGGGAGCACCCAUCGCGUUGGUGUUCAUUACAUGGAGCGGAUAGUCCAUUUGACCGUCUGUCCAAGAGUUUCCAUAAUUUUUCAGCAAUCAAGACAUCCGUUACGCGCUGCGCACACGCAUACAUCCUUGUGCAUAAUCAACUUUCAAAUGUAUUAUAUAACGAUGACAAAGAGUGAAUGAAUCAACCUUCAUUUUUAGUUGAACCCCAAAACUUUUAUGCGAACCCUCGGAUCCCCUUUCACCCCUACACCAUUGUCCAACCCCUCAAAUCAUCAACCCCUCUCAUUCAUAAUUGGAGCAAUGGUGCUACUUGGAUAAGAUUGGCCAAGCUUGGAUUUUGAUGAUCAUCUAUAUUUCUAAGUUUUCUCUUUCUUUCUUCUAUGAAUGUGUACCGGAUGUUCAUGAGGGAUUUUUCUUCUAUGAGGUGUAGCUAAACCCCUUAGGGUAGGAUUUGUGGAACUCUAAGGAGAAUAAUGAGGAUUGAUCAUGUGUGAUUAGUUUAUCAAUGCGUGGUUUGACCUAAUUUAAUGUUAUGUUAUUUUGUUUUUGUUCUUCAAUCGUGUGAUAUGCCCAUACUUUUUGUGUGUGUGUGUAAACGCGGAUGCGAAUGCAUCCUAACUUUCGUUCAAAAUCAAGCAAGAUUUGGAUGAGAUGAGUACGGUAAUGUCGGAUCAGAGAGUUCAAUACAGUGGGAACCAAAAGGAAAGAAGUGAACCUUAUUAGCUAAAAAGUAUGCUGAUUAUUUUCCGAAAACAUGUGAAUUAUCUGAACUUGACAUUCGCGACUGAGAAGCUUUCGAGCAUGACAAACAAAGAUAGAAUGGAUAUAAUCCUUAGAGGACUGAUCAACGCACUUCGGUCAAGUUGCAGCUGAAUUUGAAUAUACUUGAUGAGAGGCUUAUUGAUUGGUUUUAUUGGUCUUUUAGCUUUACAAAGAAUAUAGCACCCAAAUCAAACAAAGUUUUAGUCUUAUAUAUUCUUUGUAAUUUUCCACCUUUGCUAAAUAAAAUGUAAAACCUUUCUACCAAGUACCUAGUAAAAAUAAAAAUGUAAAAACUAAAGACCUAUUACCUUAGACAAGCAGACCAAGUUACCCGAUUGACUGGGCCUGGGCCAAUGCCCAAGUACAAAACUAAAUGAGACCGGGUCAAGCCCAAGGCGGAAAAGUGAAGACACGCGGCUCGGGAAAACGUUGCUGGACAUUCCUACGUGUCAUAUAACGAUUGGUUGUUUUCACGUGGCUUGCUCCCUGAUUGGCCGGGACAGCACGAACCCCGGCUCGUUCCCAAGAUCCGUGCACUCUAUAUCUCACUGCAUCAACCCUUCCAUUUCAAUAUAGAUUUUGAUCUCCACGACUGGGCUUUCAGCUUAGCCCUUCUCUCUCUGAUUCAUCGACUGUGGAUUCAAUUUCCGAGAUUCAGAUCCGGAAGCCAUAUCCACCAUCUAGGCUGUGCUGUGUCUCACAGGGGAAAAAGUAAACAUGGUCCGAGCGAACAAGUUGCUGCAGGUCUCUAUGCGACUCGCACUACUCUCCGUCGUCGUAGCUCUCGUCUCUCAAGCCCCGCAGCUACGCGCCGCCGGCGACAACGCUGUAAGAAACUAGCUAGGGAUUUUUAGUCUAUAUCAUUUUUAAAUCUGGCUUCUGAAUUUGUAAUGGUUGUGUUGAUCAUGCUAAUUAUGGUGUUUGUGGAUGUAGAUCUUGUUUGAGUCGUUCGAUGAGCCUUUUGAAGGGCGAUGGAUCGUCUCCGAGAAAGAUGAUUACCAAGGUAAAACGAUUGAUCUCUUGUUAGUCUGGAUCUCUUUUAUCGAACUUCUUAGUCCAUGCUACUUAAACAAGAAGGGAAUUUGACAAUUUGUUCGUUAAGUCCGACGAAGUGAUCCGUCAAUGAGGGAUAUCAAUUAUUGCCUGCUGUUGCAUGUAUAGAUGUUUUCUCUGAUUUAGUAGUUCAUUUAAGAGAUGUGCAUCUAAGAUGUGGAGCGUUAGAUGGAUAUGAUUUGAUUUGUUUUUCUAUUUUUUUAUAGAACUUUGCUUGAAGCUUAGUUUAAGAUACUGUGAUGCGAUUUCCUAUAGUUGAUCUUGCGGUGUUUAGUCUGAUUGUACCAUCUGCUGAAAGUGUCUAUAUGGCAAGCAUUUCCAUUUCCAGUUCUAUUCUGCGUGGGGAGGAUGACAAAUGUCUCACCCGUUUGAAAAGUUCGGUUCCGGGUUGAACAUUUGAAAGAAUAGAUUGUCGAGAUGCACUGUGGAAGUCUGAUUGUGCUGAUCGGCUAUUAUUACUGCAUAUUUGGUUUUAUGAUCAUCCUGGAUUGACCUUUUUGUCAUCUCAAAUCUGAUUCUUUUAGGUGUAUGGAAGCAUUCUAAAAGUGAGGGACAUGAUGAUUAUGGACUUCUUGUGAGUGAGAAGGCCAGGAAAUACGCCAUUGUUACAGAGCUUGAGAAGGCAGCGGAUCUCCAGGAUGGUACCACUGUCCUACAGUUUGAGACUCGUCUUCAGAAUGGGCUUGAGUGCGGUGGUGCUUAUCUCAAAUAUCUCCGCCCUCAAGAAGCUGGGUGGAUAGCUAAGGGGUUCAACAACGACUCACCUUAUUCGAUUAUGUUUGGACCAGACAAAUGUGGAGCCACAAACAAAGUGCACUUCAUCCUGAAGCACAAGAACCCCAAGAGCGGGGAGUACGUGGAACACCAUCUGAAGUUCCCACCUUCAGUGCCUUCAGAUAAGCUUACCCAUGUGUACACUGCGAUCUUGAAGCCAGACAAUGAGGUGAGGAUCCUCAUUGAUGGUGAGGAAAAGAAGAAAGCCAAUUUCCUUUCUUCCGAAGACUUUGAGCCUGCUCUCAUCCCCGCCAAGACCAUCCCUGAUCCAGAUGACAAGAAACCCGAGGACUGGGAUGAGAGAGCCAAAAUCCCAGACCCCAAGGCUGUCAAGCCAGAAGACUGGGAUGAGGAAGCUCCAAUGGAGAUUGAAGAUGUGGAUGCUGUGAAACCUGAAGGAUGGUUGGACGAUGAGCCUGAAGAGGUUGAUGACCCUGAAGCUACCAAACCAGAAGACUGGGAUGAUGAGGAGGAUGGUGAAUGGGAAGCCCCCAAGAUUGACAACCCAAAGUGUGAAACAUCCCCUGGUUGCGGUGAAUGGAAGAGGCCAAUGAAGAGCAACCCUGCUUACAAGGGGAAGUGGCAUGCUCCCAUGAUCGAUAACCCUAGCUACAAGGGUAUCUGGAAGCCUAGGGACAUUCCUAACCCAGACUUCUUCGAGCUUGACGCUCCCAACUUCGAACCUAUCGCUGCUGUUGGAAUUGAGAUCUGGACGAUGCAGGAUGGGAUACUGUUUGACAACGUUUUGAUAGCAAAAUCCGAGGAGGAGGCUACUUCUGUCAGAGAUGAACUAUGGAAACCCAAGUUUGAUGCUGAGAAGGAGAAGCAGAAUGCCGAGGAGGCAGCAGCUACUGGGUCAGAUGGUCUUGCUGGCAUCCAGGUAUUGACGAUGGUUUCCUUUUUCAUCAUGAAACUUAUCCGUUAUUUUGCAAGCUGUAAUGGAUGUUUACUAACUUUAUUGCAAAUCUCUGUUUCAAUCUUGCAGAAGAAGGUAUUCGACAUCCUUUACAAGGUUGCAGAUAUUCCUUUCUUGAAGGAUUACAAAGACAAAAUCACUGUAAGUUGAUCUCUUUUCCCGACUCAGACCUUGUAAUAAUAAACCAAUACCUAUCCGGUAAGUAUCUAACUUUAUACAUUCAACAAUGGUGCAGGAACUCGUGGAGAAGGCAGAGAAGCAGCCAAACCUGACAAUUGGUGUGCUUGUUUCUAUUGUGGUUAUCAUCCUCACAAUUUUCGCGAAGCUAAUUUUCGGCGGAAAGAAGCCUGUAAGUUCUAAACAUUCUGGGUUUUCUAUCAUGUUUUAUGCAUGUUUGGACCAGGAGGGGUUUUAGGCUAAUGGUAUUUUUGGUGAUGCGUGCGUGAUUAACAGGCCAAAGUUGAGAAGAAGCCGGCAGCUGCCGCUGCGGAGACCUCGAGUAAAGAGGGAAGCAACGGAGAGAAAGAGGAAGAAGAGAAGGAGGGGAACACGACGGCCGCUCCUCGCCGGAGGACAACCAGGCGCGAGUGAAUAUUCUGACGGGGGCAUAGGUUGAAUGAGUUGGGCAUCUAGCGGGGUUUUUUCCUUCUUGUUAUGUAGAAGUUUAGUGGUUUGUUUUUAAUGUUAAUUGUUGGGCGUGGGAUUGAGGAUUCUUAGAAGCUCCUAAGUUUUGAACGUUGCUUUUUUGCUUGAGAAAACUAUGGAACCAGCUCACUAGUGUGUACAAGAAAAGAUAACAUCAAACGCAUCUGUUUCGGACUUUCGAGUGCCCAAAGCCCAAUUGACACCUGCUAUGGAGUCACAUACAUUUCUCAGCCCUGAAAUGUUACUUGCUGGUUUUAUUCUACAGAUGCCUCCUCCAAGAUCAUAUUCAAUGCUUGAGGCUAAAGUGCCAACUUGUUCAAUUAAAGCACCCCAAAAAAGUGCUCUAGUCUUUGGGGCUAAACUGUUCAAAUGCUAUAAAAGAAUGGUAGGCACAAAGAUGUGUACAAUCCAAACAGUGAACAGAGACCCACCCCGUCCAUGUUCUAAGGAGCCAUCUACGAUUUUUUACUGGUAUAUGUUCAUAUGUACGAGUUGUAUGCUAGUAUAUGUUAAUAUUAGAUGGUAUACGUACACAGCACUAAUGUUGAGAAAGAAUGUAAGAUAAGCAUCGUGAAACAAGAGUGAUGAUGAAGCCGUUAAUAAAGAAGAAGAAUAAUAAAGGUCCUCCUUUUGAUCAUGGACCAUUCAAUUAUUUUAUGGAGUUAUUUGUCAUGGAUCUACCCUUUAGUGUCACUGCCAAUUUGUUCUCUUUGGUUUGUAAUAAUAUGUCUUUCCACUAACUAAUAAAAUAUACAGAUAGGUGGCAACUCUGCUUUGCUUUCUUAGCUUAACUUUUUCUACAAGUGUCAAUAUAUACAUCACACACAUACCAUACAACAUAUGUCCGUUGUCUUCUCUGCUAGUCUAUGCUCUGACUGAACAUCAUGAAGGAAAAGGAGAAGAAGGAGAAGAGGAAGAGGAAGAGGAAGAGGAAGGGUAAGGAAGAGAAUUCAAAUCUGUCUCUUCUUUCCUUGAGAGGUUAGAAGAAGAAGAAGAAGAAGAAGAAGCUAUAAACAGGCAAGUCAUAGAGGCAAAAGGGAAGGCCCAAGCCUUUCUUCCAGUGGUGUUUUUUUGGGGGGGUUUCCUUGUUGGUUGUUUCAAACCGUCUUCCGUGUGUUGUUGUCGUCGUUGUCCGUCUCUAUCUGUUUGUAAGUUGAUUAAAAAUAAGAUUAAAGAGUGUUGUCAGUCUCAGACUGGGUUAGUGGGAAAAGGGUGUCUUUGUGUUUUAUCUGAAACGGGCAAGUUUGACUGCUUCCUUUCCUUUGUUUUUCUUUUGCCCUUUGUUUGUAUCAGCACAGCACAGCAGAGACAGAGUCUAUUAAAAGCUUUACCUCCCUUCUUUUAUUAUCAUAUCUGUUAUAAACUUGCUCUUGCCCAAGGCUUCAAGCUGAUCUACUGAUUCACCCGUCAUUUAUUUGAAAUACUACUUAAUAAGUAAGUCUCACUUGUCUUAUCCAUCCUAGCACUUCUCACUUAUCAAUGAUUCCUCUUACAGGCGAUCCAAUUGAAGAGUUGUGUUUCGACUUCAGUUCAUCCACCGAACGAAGCUGCCGAUUUAGCAGCACGAUUUUACUGCUUUCCAUCCGAGCGUCUCCUUACAGAACUAUCCCGAGUACAACACGCGAUCGAAGAUUGGAGAAACAAUGAUCCAGCAGAACUUGCUUUAAUCAAAGAUUGGAGAAACAAUGGUGUGUUUUAAAUUGAUUAAAGUAUGGGGUGAUCCAGCAGAACUUGCUAUUAGAUCAGCCUCAACAAAACAUGGGACAUCAACAACUCUUCAUCUAACAAAACUCUAUGUCCCUUCUUUCAAAACCAGACACUUCUAUUACGCAGCAGCUACUUUCACUAAUCAUAAUCAUAAUAAUACCUAUUUAUUAAUCUCCGUCAUCGUCGUCAUCGCCAACGAUUUCUGGGACUAACUACUCAC
This 47673-nucleotide long non-coding RNA is filed under the name Linum usitatissimum (flax). Its description in RNAcentral is "long non-coding RNA (LUSI_LNC003094)". Lineage: Eukaryota; Viridiplantae; Streptophyta; Magnoliopsida; Malpighiales; Linaceae. The record is from RNAcentral.